RNAcentral lists this long non-coding RNA (83793 nucleotides) under Triticum aestivum (bread wheat). RNAcentral describes it as "long non-coding RNA (TAES_LNC016871)". The record is from RNAcentral. Lineage: Eukaryota; Viridiplantae; Streptophyta; Magnoliopsida; Poales; Poaceae.
GGAUGUUGGUUUUAUUCAGCUGUCACAGGGCUGCCUGCAUUAUGCUGGUUUUGACACAGAUGAUGAUAAUGUUGUUCGACUGCUAGUUUAUGUUCUUAAAGACUAUGACCGCAAAGAAUGGAUACUGAAGCAUAGCGUCGAAACUUCGCAUUUGCUUGGAGGGCGACACAUAGAAUACCUUGAUGAGUACUUCGAUUGGAUUGCAAUUCAUCCAGAAUGUGACUUGAUCUUCUUCACUGUGGCCCAGGAGGAUAUCACAUUCAUGUGCUAUGAUAUGGAUAGUGGACAAGUUAAUGUGCUCUGCAAUCUUGAAGAUAGCCAGCAGGCAUAUUUUCCGUAUGUGCCACUAUAUGAAGAGUUACAAUCGUUGCACAAGUGACGUCUUAUGUGUGCUAUGAUAUGGAUAAUGGACAAGUUAAAGUGAUCUGCAAUCUUGAAGGCGAGCUGCCAUAUUCUCAAUAUGUGCCGCUAUAUGAAGAGCUACAAUCGUUGCACAAGCGAUGUCUUAUUCAUGCUAUGGAGCAGUGGGCAUGGUAUGUCUGCUUGAAUUUGGUCCUCCUUUCUCUGAUGUAUGCAUGUGUUUAAGUUUGGAGCAAUGCUGGUUCGUUCUGGGGGCACUGCAGCUGAUUUCUCUCUCAGACUAGUUAUUCAAAGUUUCAAUGCACCUUCUGUUGUGUGUACUUGUUUUGUCUUGGUAGACCAAUGGUUCUGGACAACGGGAGAUUGUGAUACACUUUGGAUGAUUACAUUAUCACUUCUUUUGGUGCUAUGUUUGCCCUGUCUUUUAAAUAGGUUAUUUUUUUAGCAGAACAUCACGCCACAAUGAUGCUGUUGAUAGGAAGUGUCAUAAUGUUCAUCCUGCUGUUAGAUAACUUUUGACACAAAAUUGCUUCAGAAGACUAGAAAGACAUCCUCUUUAUCUAUGGGUUUUGUUCGCAUAGGUAGGUUUAAAGAGUUUAAAAUAAGCGACACCGGGCACUUACCAUGUUAGUCUUGCCUAUAAUGGUGCACAUACACUCCAGUCCAACACAAUUUUGCUGUGUUAAUAAGAGGUAAUUUGACUUACCACUGAAGGGUUUGCCUAGCGGGACUAUGUUCAACUCUUUCGGAUGAUUGAUGCUGAGAAGGUCAUUAUUGAAACUAAUUUCUUUAGCUGGUCAACCUAUGUACGGCUAGUAUUUCGAGCAGAGCUGCAAUCUUGUUCUUAUGCACAUUCAGGAGCUUAGUAGGGUCUUUUCUUUUCUUGAUUUAGUUCAUGUAAAACAAAAAGGCAAUGUGGCAGCCCACCAAACCGCUAAAUAAUCUUUUCAUACUGGUCCUUUGUGUGUCCUGAUCUCCCAGGUCCUGGUCUUCCUUGGACCCUGUAUUCAGCAAGGUUGUAACCUUGCCAACUUAUCAACAUAAACUUGGUUCUAGAAAAUGAGGAAAUAAGAUUGCACGGGAUCGAAAGCUAAUUUCAGAUAUUGUUCGAUUGAAAGUAAGAGCAAAUCAAAGCUACUGCUGUAAUAGGAUUGUAUCAGGUUGCUGCGCUAAUGAUAUGUGUUCCGUACUUUUCAGUUGUCAGCUAGCCCAGGUAAAGCAAUUGGUACGGUUAGAGAACUAAUGGUGAAACGUUACUUGCAAUACAAGUUCUUUCUGUUAUCAACACAUAUAGUCCAUGGUUAUGAAUAGGUUGACAUUGAAGAAGAAAAGAAGCACAUAGAUGUACAUAGUUUCUCUGAUCCAAAUUCUGGUCAACAAAACAAACAAUUUUAGAGCUAGAAGCCCAACUGGUUUCAGUUUGAGAAAAGGAAUUUGAAAUGACUAUAGAUAUUGUUCUAAAAUAUUGCAACCUCGCCCUACUUUUGUAUGCAUGUUGUCAGUGGUGCUCAAACCUAAUAGGGCCCCCCUGCUGUUUUGUUAUGUUGCGUCUGGUCCAUGCUAAGGGGUAUUUUUUGAUAUAUUACUGUAUAUCUUUUCUUUGGAGUUUAUGAAUAAAUCAAAUAGCACACGCGCCACCCAUAUCAACAUGAAUUAGUGACCCAUGUCUUUGUUAAACUAGAUGAUACCCCGCACGUUGUUGCGGGAAUAUUUUGCAACAUAUUUCAAUGUGAUUCGUUGGAUGAAACAUGAAUAUUUGAAGUAAUAAUAUAAAAGGUUAAAACUGAAAAUACCUAUAAUUUAUUUGUUUGAGUACUAUAUAGUUGUAAAAUGUUUAUUAAACUAGACGGUUCCCCGCGUGUUGCUACUGGAUUUCUAAAGGACAUCUUGAGAUAUUGUAGUAUUAUCUAUGAAGAAAAUUAAAAUCCAGCACUAUAUGAAAAAUAUACAACAAUGACACAAUAGUUGAGAUACAUAUAUGUGAUUUUUUUUCAAAACUAUGAUGAUUUUUAUAGCAAAUUCGAAGUCUAUAUGUCUUCAUGCAAGAAAAUCAAAACUAGCACCCAUCGGCCUCUAGUUGGCCGAAGAGGGGCUCUUCGGCCUGCGCUUGACCGAAGUGGGCUCUUCAGCCUCCCGUUGGCCGAAGAGUACCCAAACUGGGACGAAAAUGACUCUUUGGUCUGCCGUAGGCCGAAGAGUACUCUUUGGUCAACCAUAGGCCGAAGAGUACUCUUUGGGGCCCAAGGCCCAUGCAGCUUCGGCCUCCCAUUAACGUGGAAAGUUGGAGCCCAAGGACUCUUCGGCCUACGGUUGACCAAAGAGUGCUCUUCGGCCUACGACAGACCAAAUAGUCCUUUUCGGCCCAGUUGGGGCACUCUUCGGCCAACGGGAGGCUGAAGAGCCCAAUUCGGUCAACCGUAGGCCGAAGAGCCCCUCUUCGGCCAACUGGAGGCCAAUGGGGUGCUAGUUUUGAUUUUGGUGCGUGAGGACGUAUAAAUUCCGAAUUUGCUACAUAUUCAUUGGAUAUCACUUGAAAGUAGUAUCGCCUAAGACACCAUGAAAGUAAUACGCUACGGACCUUUACAUCAAAGGUCACUGAGGCUCAAAUAAAAAUAUAGUACUCAAACAAAAUUGUUAAGUUUGUAGCUUAAAUAAAUAAAUAUUACUGAUCGAAUGGCUACAUAACACGGUUAUUCUGGAUAACAAUGUAUAUAAAAUUGAUAAAUGGGUAGCAUGUAAUGGAUAGAGGGAGAAAUAAUAGAUUAUAUGUUUUUUUGUACAUGGACAGAUGAACUGGUUGAGAGUUCAGAAGUUAAACAUAGUUUGCAGAUAUAUGUAGAAGAAAGUGGUAGUACUGAAAAAGGAAUAACAAUAGUCUGGUCCGAUGUAGCUGCAGGUUGCCCUAUUUGAUUAUUUGUCCACAUAGGAGUAUAUUGCUUACCAAUCUAGGGAACGGAGUUAUUUUGUUAAUUAUUCUGGGAUGGAGCUGACAUUACUACUUACCUCCUCACAAAAAAAAGGUACUAUUACCCAAUUAGAAGCAUGAAUGAAAAUUAAAACAACGUGUCUAUUUAUAUUUUCAGAGUAACCAUCUGACUCAGGUAGAUCAGUUCUAAAAUGACACCGAAUGUGUGUGGCCCAACAACAUAUGACUUCAAGAAUCUACUGCUAGUCUGUAGCAAGAUUGUAAAAUUAUAUCAAAAGACUAAUUAGACAGUAGCUAGACUUCAUCACCUCUCCAAAGUUGGCCCAUAUACUGGUUCGGUAUGGAUAAGAAAACCCUCGGACUGAAAGAAAAUAAAUGGGAAAUUAAAAAAAAACUUUUGGCUGCCAUGUAUGAGAAAGGCAAGCGGAAGCCAUUGUCAUCAACACCAAAGAGUUUCACCUAAAAAUGCAAGCAAGUGUUUUGCAAGUCAUAAUCGUUCAACAAAGUAUGGAGAAAAAAAGUAGCUUGUAGUAUGACAGAUGAGGAAUGCCUUUGGGCUGACCGGGGCUAUUAUGGCAGGCAGGUGCUUCACUCGGUUUCGGGAGUUGCCGGCGCCUCCAUACGCGAGCAACAAAUAUCUCAAAGUGUUAAAGCGUCUCGAACAGUGGCGGUAAAAAACACGCGCGUGGGAAAAGUGGGUCAUAGCGCGCGCGGGGAGCGGGGCGGAAAAUUCAGGCGUGCGGGAAAGGAUCACGCGCGUGAAAAAGCACCCGUGCGCGCGCUAGUUUUGGCGCAGCGCCCGCCACGAGCCCUCCCACCGUUGUCCGCCUCGCCACGCGCUGAUAGGAACCGGGUUCCUACCAGGACGAGUUCUCAUAUUAUAGGGGUGGAAGGAGGGUUGGCGCGACGGAUGACGCGACCGACGGCGCUGGGGCGCCGUGAUCGCGAGAGAGGGAGAGGGCGCAUGGUGCGGCUAGGGUUAGGUUUCCCGGCUCCUUAUGGAAGCCGAGCAAAUAUGAUUGCUUCUGCUUAACUCCAAAACGAGUCUUUACAUGAGUUUAUAUAAUCCUCGAAAUAAGAUAAUCGGGCUAAGCCCCUAAAACGAUAAGAUAACUUGGGCCAGGCCCCUAAUUGUCUGCACCAGUGGGCCUCCUGGUGCUAAACAGUAGGCCAGUCAUAACAUCUCUCCCUGCCUGCGUAAACAGCUCGUCCUCGAGCUGAAAGUCUGGAAAGUGCUUGCCAAACUCGUCGAGGAGCUCCCAAGUGGCCUCCUCCUCAAGAAGGCCUUGCCAGUGGAUCAACAAGCGCCAAACACCGUGACUCUGCUGGGCUUUCAACACCUUCGCUGGACCGGGAAGUAGACGGCCCUCGGGGAUCGGAGGGAGAUCCGGCGUAGCCGUUGGUGGCUCGCCGUGGAAAGGCUUCAACAAGCCCACAUGGAAGACGUCGUGGAUGCGAGCGCCAGAUGGCAGCUGAAGGCGGUAGGCGACGUUGCUGCUGCGCUCCAGCGCCGGAAAUGGCCCCGCAUAGCGGGGACCUAGUUUGCGCUUAGAGCGCGGGUCCAGUAACUCCGUAGUGCUGUGGAGUAGACACAUCUACACCAAGUCUCCCACCGCAUACUCUGCCUCAUGGUGAUGUGCAUCGUAGUACUUCUUGGACAGCUGCUGGACCUGGAGAAGACGCUGGCACACCUCGGCAAGGAUCUCAUCCCAACUGCGGAGAAGCUCGACCGCCGCCUCAGUCUAGGCAGUCUCUGGCUGAAAUGGCAGGAUGGGUGGCGGAGGGCGACCAUAGACCACCUCGAAGGGCGUGGCCCACAGGGCGGAGUGGUAGGAGGUGCUGUAGCAGUACUCCGCCCAAGAGAGCCAGUCCACCCAAGCCCAUGGCCGAUCAACUGUAACACAACUUAAGUACAUAGCAAUCACCUUAUUGACCAUCUCGGACUAGCUGUCCAUCUGGGGGUGGAAUGCCGUACUGAGGCGCAGCUUCACGCCCGCCAUCCGGAAAAGAUCGCGCCAUACAUGGUUAGUGAACACCGGAUCACGGUUGCUGACGAUCGAAGAGGGGAACCUGUGGAGGCGGACGAUGUCAUCGAAGAAGGCCCGUGCGACGGAGGUGGCGGUGUAGGGAUGGCCGAGCAUGAUGAAGUGUGCAUACUUGGAGAAGCGGUCGACCACCGUAAGGAUGACGGACUUGCCGCCCACCUUAGGAAGGCCCUUGAUGAAGUCCAUGGAGAUGUUGGCCCAGAUCUGAGGUGGCACCUCAAGGGGCUGUAACAGUCCCGCCGGCUGUAGUGUCUCCGUCUUAUUGCGCUAACACGUCACACAAGACCGCACCCAGUCUCGUACUAGCGCGCGGUCGCCGGGGAUGUAGAAAUCUUCCCGGAUACGAUGAAGGGUCUUCUGCACCCCCUCAUGGCCGACCGAGUGAUACAGCAACAGGGCCAGUUGGUGGAGGUCGCCGUGAUCCGACACGAAGAGCCGACGCCUGUGCAGAAGCAAGCCGUCGUCCAGGCGCCACGGUUCCUCCAGGUCGCCAUUCGCGAGGCGCUGAUGAAGGAGCUGUGCGUCCAGGGUGCUCGCGAUGACACGGCGGAUGUCGUCGAUGAAGGCAAAGGAGGGCCCCGAGCGGAUGCAGAGCACCGUCCCCACGGUGUCGACGGCGUCCGAGCCGGAGUUGGCGUCACGGCAGGACAACGCGCCUACCACGGUGAUGAGGCGACCCGGGCGGUACAUGACUGUAAAGUUGAAGCCGAACAACUUGAUGAUCCACUGAUGCCGCGACACGGUGGAGAGGCGCUGGUCCAACAAGAACUUGAGGCUGUAGUGAUCCGUGUGAACACGGAACGGUCACCCCCAUAGGUAUGGUCGCCAAUGGUGCACAACCUGUACCAAGCCGAUGAGCUCUCUCUCUCAUAGGCCGCGAGCUUGUGAUGACUCGUAGAGAAAGGCUUGCUGAAGAAGGCGAGCGACUUGUCGCCCUGAUGAAGGACGGCGCCAAACCCCACGCCCGAGGCAUCGCAGUCCACCAAGAACAACUUGUCGAAGUCAGGCAUCUGGAGGACCAGCUCCGUAGUGAGAGCCUGCUUGAGGGUCUGAAAUGCCUCGGUUGCCUCAGUAUCCCAGGAGAAGGCAUCGCGAUGCAACAUGCACGUGAGCGGAGCCGCGAUGAGGCCGGACUCCCGGAUGAACUUCCGGUAGUAGCCUGCGAGGCCCAAGAAACCGUGAAGGGCCCGCGGCGAGUCCGGCGUCGGCCAAGCCGCGACAGCUGCCACCUUGUCGGCAUCCAUCGUGACACCCUCCGCCGAGAUGACGUGGCCGAGGUAGGCAACCGAUGUUGUGUCGAAUGAGCCCUUCGAGCGAUUGAGGUGCAGAUGGUGCGCUCGAAGCUCGUUAAAGACGAUGGCCACGUGCUAUAGGUGCUCCACCCACAAUGAGCUGUAGAUAAGAAUGUCAUCAAAGAAAACGUGCACAAACCGACGCAAGUAGGGGCGGAGGACAUCGUUCAUCAAAGCCUGAAAUGUCGCCGGGGCAUUGGAGAGGCGAAAAUGCAUCACCAAAAAUUCGAAGUCGCCGUGGUGAGUGCGAAAGGCCAUCUUCUCGACAUCAUCCGGAUGCAUCCGCACUAGGUGAUAUCUGAUACGUCUCCAACGUAUCUAUAAUUUAUGAAGCAUUCAUGCUAUUUUAUUAUCUGUUUUGAAUGAUUACGGGCUUUAUUAUACACUUAUAUAUUACUUUUGGGACUAACCUAUUAACCGGAGGCCCAGCCCAUAUUGUUGUUUUAUUGUCUAUUUCAGUGUUUCGAAGAAAAGGAAUAUCAAACGGAGUCCAAACGGAAUGAAACCUUCGGCAGCGUGAUUUUUGGAACAAACGUGGCCCAGGAAACUUGGAGUGCAAGCCAGGGGAGCAUCGAGGAAGCCACGAGAUAGGGGGGCGUGCCCACCCCCUAGGCGCACCCUCCCCUCUCGUGGGCCCCUCGAGGCUCCCCCGACCGACUUCUUUCUCCUAUAUAAGUCCACAUACCCUAAAACAAUCAAAUAUCAAGAUAGAUCGGGAGUUCCGCCGCCGCAAGCCUCUGUGGCCACCAAAAACCUCUCGGGAGCCCGUUCCGGCACCCUGCCGGAGGGGGAACCCCUCACCGGUGGCCAUCUUCAUCAUCCCGAUGCUAUCCAUGAUGAGGAGGGAGUAGUUCACCCUCGGGGCUGAGGGUAUGUACCAGUAGCUAUGUGUUUGAUCUCUCUCUCUCUCUCUGUCGUGUUCUCUCUAUGGCACAAUCUUGAUGUAUCGCGAGCUUUGCUAUUAUAGUUUGAUCUUAUGAUGUUUCUCCCCCCCCCCCUCUACUCUCUUGUGAUGAAUUGAGUUUUCAUCUUGAAGUUAUCUUAUUGGAUUGAGUCUUUAAUGAUUUGAGAACACUUGAUGUAUGUCUUGCCGUGUUUAUCUGUGGUGACAAUGGGAUAUCACGUGCCACUUGAUGUAUGUUUUGGUGAUCAACUUGCGGGAUUCGCCCAUGAACCUAUGCAUAGGGGUUGGCACAUGUUUUCGUCUUGACUCUCCAGUAGAAACUUUGGGGCACUCUUUGAAGUACUUUGUGUUGGUUGGAUAGAUGAAUCUGAGAUUGUGUGAUGCAUAUCGUAUAAUCAUGCCCGCGGAUGCUUGAGGUGACAAUGGAGUAUCUAGGUGACAUUAGGGUUUUGGUUGAUUUGUAACUUAAGGUGUUAUUCUAGUACGAACUCUUGAAUAGAUCGAUCCGAAAGAAUAACUGUGAGGUGGUUUCGUACCCUACCAUAAUCUCUUCGUUUGUUCUCCGCUAUUAGUGGCUUUGGAGUGACUCUUUGUUGCAUGUUGAGGGAUUGUUAUAUGAUCUAUCUAUGUUAUUAUUGUUGAGAGAACUUGCACUAGUGAAAGUAUGAACCCUAUGACUUGUUUCCUAGCAUUGCAAUACCGUUUACGCUCACUUUUAACAUUAGUUACCUUGAUGUUUUUAUAUUUUCAGAUUACAAAAACCUUUAUCUACUAUCCAUAUUGCACUUGUAUCACCAUCUCUUUGCCGAACUAGUGCACCUAUACAAUUUACCAUUGUAUUGGGUGUGUUGGGGACACAAGAGACUCUUUGUUAUUUGGUUGCAGGGUUGUUUGAGAGAGAUCAUCUUCAUCCUACGCCUCCCAUGGAUUGAUAAACCUUAGGUCAUCCACUUGAGGAAAAUUUGCUACUGUCCUACAAACCUGUGCACUUGCAGGCCCAACAACAUCUACAAGAAGAAGGUUGUGUAGUAGACAUCAAGCUCUUUUCUGGAGCCGUUACCGGGGAGGUGAGUGCUUGAAGGUAUAUCUUUAGAUCUUGCAAUCGAAUCUUUUUGUUUCUUGUUUUAUCACUAGUUUAGUCUAUAAAAGAAAACUACAAAAAAAUGGAGUUAAGUUUGUCUCAUACGCUUCAUCUUUUUAAUAUCUUUCGUGAGUAUGCUGAAAAGGAAAAUUGUGCUCAAGUGCUUAGAAGAAGAAUUACAUAGAAUGCUUGGCAUGAAAUAUGUGAAUGAUGAGCAUGAUUGCAAUGAUGUUAGUAUGAAUUCCUUGAAUAUCCAUGAUGCUAAUGAUAUGCAAAUCCACAAGCUUGGGGAAGCUAUGUUUGAUGAAUAUGAUAUAUUUUGUCCCCCAAGCUUUGAUGAGCAAAUUUAUUUUGAUGAUAGCAUGCCUCCUAUUUAUGAUGAUUAUAUUGAUGAAAGUGGGUUUGGAAGAGUGUCAACUUUAGAAAGUAGUGAUCCCACUAUUUUGGAGGAUGUUGAAUCUUAUUGUGAUAAACAUGAAAGUGGAUUUGGAAGAGUGUCAACUUUAUUUAGUGAUGAUUCCACUAUUUCGGAAGAGGUUCCAAUUGAUUAUGAGAACAAAGUUGCUAUCUAUGAUGAUUAUUGUGAUGACUUGUAUGCUAUUAGGAAUAAUGAUAACGAUGAAACUUGUCCUCAUGAUUUUAGUUUUCAAUUGGAUUAUGCCUCACAUGAUAAUUAUUUUGUUGAGUUUACUCCCACUAUUCCGAAUGAGAAGAAUUUUGCUUAUGCGGAGAGUAGUAAAUUUUCUAUGCUUAUAGGUCAUGAAAAGAAUGCUUUAGGUGUUGGUUAUAUUGUUGAAUUCAUUCAUGAUCCUACUAAAAAUUAUUAUGAGGGAGGAACAUAUGCUUGUAGGAAUUGCAAUAAUAUCAAGUUUCCUCUCUAUGUGCUUAAAAUCUUGAAGCUAUACUUGUUUUACCUUCUAUGCUAGUUGAUUAUUGUUUCCAUAAGUUGUUUUCUCACAAAAUCCCUAUGCAUAGGAAGUGGGUUAGACUUAAAUGUGCUAGUCAUAUGCUUCAUGAUGCUCCUGUUAUGUUUCAAUUCUUAUCUUUUAUGUGAGCAUCAUUGUCAUCAUCAUGCCUAGUUAAAAAGGCAUUAAAGAAAAGCGCUUGUUGGAAGACAACCCAAUAUUUAUCCUUACUGGUUUUGGUGUGUUCACAUGAUUAUGCUACCGUAGUAAUCAUGUUUUAUAGUUUUUGUUUCAAUAAAGUGCCAAGUAAGACCUUUAGGAUAGCUUACGGUGAUAGUUGCGUUGAUCCUGCUGAAAAUCAGAAACUUUUGCACCCAGUAAAUUAGUUUUGUUAAUUCACAUAAACGUGAUUUUUAUCUGCUUCUUUUUGCUAAGGAUUGGUACAGAAAUUUAUUAGGACUUCCUAAUUUGGUAGGAUUUGUGGAGUUCCAUAAGUAUACGUUUUAUACAGAUUACUACAUACUGUUCUGUUUUUGACAGAUUCUGUUUUCUAUGUGUUGUUUGCUUAUUUUGAUGAAUCUGUGAGUAGUAUCGGAGGGUAUGAACCAUAGGUAAGUUGGAAUACAGUAGGUAUUACACCAAUAUGAAUUUAUAAUGAGUUCAUUACAGUACCUAAGUGGUGGUUUUAUUUUCUUAUACUAAUGGAGCUUACGAGUUUUCUGUUGAGUUUUGUGUUGUGGAGUUUUCAAGUUUUGGGUAAAGAUUCGAUGGACUAUGGAAUAAGGAGUGGCAAUAGCCUAAGCUUGGGGAUUCCCAAGGCACCCCAAGGUAAUAUUAAAGGACAACCAAGAGCCUAAGCUUGGGGAUGCCCCGGAUGAUAUCCCCUCUUUCGUCUUCGUUCAUCGGUAACUUUACUUGGAGCUAUAUUUUUAUUCACCACAUGAUAUGUGUUUUGCUUGGAGCGUCAUUUUCCUGUGUUAGUAUUUGCUUACUGUUAUUUAUAAUAGUGUUUUGCAUCUUUAUUUUCAACAGAAAUGUCAAGGAUAGCCUUUGUCAUGCUUAUUUUGCUAGUAUACAUGUUGCUGUUUGAAAACAAAGUUUACCGCUGUUGCAAACAUUCCCUAGAAAAGUCAGAGAAUGGUAUAAUGUUGAAACUUUUUGCAUAUUGAGAUAUGAUAAAUUUAUUACAGUGGGAAUUUUCUUUCAUAAUUUUUGGAGUUAGGCAAGUAUUGAUACUCUUGCAUUCUUUACAGACUAUACUAUUUUGGCAGAUUGCUGUUAUGGUUGCAUUGUUUGCAUAUGUUUGCUUGUUUAAUGAUUCUAUUUGAGGAUAUGAGUAUUAAAUAUGCAGAGGCAUUUAGUAUGCAAUGUUGAAUAAUAAUUUUAGUGAUUUGUUAAAGUAGAAAAUGAUAAGGUUUUGCAUUGGUUCAUACUAACCUAUCUCAUGAGUUCUUGUUGAGUUUGGUGUGGAUGAAGCUUUUGAUAAAAAGAGAAACCAUGAUAUGAGAGGAAUUAAAGAGACACAAAGGUUCAAGCUUGGGUAUGCCCAAGGCACCCCAAGAUAAUAUUUCAAGAAGUCUCAAGCAUAUAAGCUUGGGGAUUCCCUGGUAGGCAUCCCACCUUUCUUCUUCAAUAACUAUCGGUUAGUAUCGGUUGAGCCUAAGUUUUUGCUUCUUCACUUGAGUUGUGCUAUCCUUGCAAUGUCAUUUUUUUUUGUUUUGUUUGCUGUUUGAAGAAAAUACCAAGAUCUGAAAUUCUUAAAUGAGAGAGAGUCUUCACAUAGUUACAUAAUUAUUUAGCUACUCAUUGUUCUUCACUUAUACCUUGUUGGAGUAGUUUGUCAUUUACUCGUGUGCUUCACUUAUAUCCUAUUAGUAAAUUGUUGAAUGAGUUGACUGUCAUAAAUUUGAAAUUAUAUAUGUUUCAUUUUCUUAUCCCAUGGGGAGUAAUGACUUCACAUUUAAGAAGUAGAGGUUGUAAAUUUAUUGAAGGUUAGCAAGCAUUGUAUUGGUCAUUUGAACAAUUCAAGAAAGAAUAUUGAAGGAAGAGAGAUUUCACAUAUAAAUAUACUAUCCUAGACAUCUUUUAUAAUUGUGAGCACUCAUUAAGUAUGACGUGCUAAAGAGUUGAUGUUGGACAAGGAAGACAACAUAAUGGGUUAUGUUUUCGCACAUCUCAGUUAAAGUAUAUUGUCAUGGAUCAUUCAAACAUGUUGAGCUUGCCUUUCCCCCUCAUGCUAGCCAAAAUUCCUUGCACCAAGUAGAGAUACUACUUGUGCUUCCAAAUAUCCUUAAACCCAGUUUUGCCAUGAGAGUCCACCAUACCUACCUAUGGAUUGAGUAAGAUCCUUCAAGUAAGUUGUCAUUGGUGCAAGCAAUAAAAAUUGCUCUCUAAAUAUGUGUGAUCUUUUGGUGUGAAGAAAAUAGCUUUAUACGAUCUUGAUAUGGAAGCAAUAAAAGCGACGGACUGCAUAAUAAAGGUCCAUAUACAAGUGGCAAUAUAAAGCGACGUUCAUUGGCAUUAAGAUUUUGUGCAUCCAACCCUAAAAGCGCAUGACAACCUCUGCUUCCCUCUGUGAAGGGCCUAUCUUUUACUUUAUGUCUUUUACUUUAUGAAAGAGUCAAGGUGAUCUUCACCUUUCCCUUUUUCAUUUUAUCCGUUGGCAAUCACCUCGUGUUAGAAAGAUCCUGAUAUAUAUAUCCAAUUGGAUGUAAGUUAGCAUGAACUAUUAUUGUUGACAUCACCCAAAGGUGAGUACGUUGGGAGGCAACACUAUAAGCCCCUAUCUUUCUCAGUGUCCGAUUAAAACUCCAUAAUCAUUAGUAUUGCGUGAGUGUUAGCAAUUGUAGAAGACUAUAUGAUAGUUGAGUAUGUGGAGUUUGCUCAAUCAAAGCUCUGACAUAGACCCUUCCUGAAAAUAAGAUGAAUUGCAAUUGUUUGAUGACUGAGAACAUAGUUUGCUAGUUUUCAAGAAAGUUUAUGGUCUAUGCUUUCAACAUGUGAAUUGCUUGUUACUUGUUCGUGAGAAGUUUUUUGAGAUGAACUACUCUUAUGACAUAUAAUGAUGCUAGAAAAGGUGAUUGAAAGUAUCAUUGAUCAAACUUGUGCACCUUCUAGCAUUCACACUUCAUAAAUUCUUUCUUUUAUCAUUUACCUACUCAAGGACGAGCAGGAAUUAAGCUUGGGGAUGCUGAUACGUCUCCAACGUAUCUAUAAUUUAUGAAGCAUUCAUGCUAUUUUAUUAUCUGUUUUGAAUGAUUACAUGCUUUAUUAUAGACUUUUAUAUUACUUUUGGGACUAACCUAUUAACCGGAGGCCCAGCCCAUAUUGCUGUUUUAUUGUCUAUUUUAGUGUUUCGAAGAAAAGGAAUAUCAAAUGGAGUCCAAACGGAAUGAAACCUUCGACAGCGUGAUUUUUGGAACGAACGUGACCCAAGAAACUUGUGUGCAAGCCAGGGGAGCAUCGAGGAAGCCACGAGAUAGGGGGCGCGCCCACCCCCCUGGGCGCGCCCUCCCCUCUCGUUGGCCCCUCGAGGCUCCCCCGACCGACUUCUUUCGCCUAUAUAAGUCCACAUACCCUAAAACCAUCGAAUAUCAAGAUAGAUCGGGAGUUCCGCCGCCGCAAGCCUCUGUAGCCACCAAAAACCUCUCGGGAGCCCGUUCCAUCACCCUGCCGGAGGGGGAACCCCUCACCGGUGGCCAUUUUCAUCAUCCCGAUGCUAUCCAUGACGAGGAGGAAGUAGUUCACCCUCGGGGCUGAGGGUAUGUACCAGUAGCUAUGUGUUUGAUCUCUCUCUCUCGUGUUCUCUCUAUGGCACGAUCGUGAUGUAUCGCGAGCUUUGCUAUUAUAGUUGGAUCUUAUGAUGUUUCUCCCCCCUCUACUCUCUUGUGAUGAAUUGAGAUUUCCUCUUGAAGUUAUCUUAUCGGAUUGAGUCUUUAAUGAUUUGAGAACACUUGAUGUAUGUCUUGCCGUUACGUGCCACUUGAUGUAUGUUUUGGUGAUCAACUUGCGGGUUCCGCCCAUGAACGUAUGCAUAGGGGUUGGCACAUGUUUUCGUCUUGACUCUCCAGUUGAAACUUUGGGGCACCCUUUGAAGUACUUUGUGUUGGUUGGAUAGAUGAAUCUGAGAUUGUGUGAUGCAUAUCGUAUAAUCAUGCCACAGAUACUUGAGGUGACAAUGAAGUAUCUAGGUGACAUUAGGGUUUUGGUUGAUUUGUGUCUUAAGGUGUUAUUCUAGUACGAACUCUUGAAUAGAUCGAUCUGAAACAAUAACUUUGAGGUGGUUUCGUACCCUACGAUAAUCUCUUCGUUUGUUCUCCGCUAUUAGUGGCUUUGGAGUGACUCUUUGUUGCAAGUUGAGGGAUUGUUAUAUGAUCUAUCUAUGUCAUUAUCGUUGAGAGAACUUGCACUAGUGAAAGUAUGAACCCUAUGCCUUGUUUCCUAGCAUUGCAAUACCGUUUACGCUCACUUUUAUCAUUAGUUACCUUGCUGUUUUUAUAUUUUCAGAUUACAUAAAUCUUUAUCUACUAUCCAUAUUGCACUUGUAUCACCAUCUCUUCGCCGAACUAGUGCACCUAUACAAUUUACCAUUGUAUUGGGUGUGUUGGGGACACAAGAGACCCUUUGUUAUUUGGUUGCAAGGUUGCUUGAGAGAGACCAUCUUCAUCCUACGCCUCCCACGGAUUGAUAAACCUUAGGUCAUCCACUUGAGGGAAAUUUGCUACUGUCCUACAAACCUGUGCACUUGCAGGCCCAACAACGUCUACAAGAAGAAGGUUGUGUAGUAGACAUCAAUAUCCCGAGCGGAGGUCGAGCUUGGUGAAGAAACGCACCCCAUGUAGCUCGUGUUGGAAAUAUGCCCUAGAGGCAAUAGUAGAAUGAUUAUUAUUAUAUUUCCUUGUUCAUGAUAAUUGUCUAUUAUUCAUGCUAUAAUUGUAUUGACCGGAAACAGUAAUACAUGUGUGAAUACAUGACCACAACAUGUCCCUAGUGAGCCUCUAGUUGACUAGCUCGUUAAUCAACAGAUGGUCAUGUUUUCCUGACUAUGGACACUGGAUGUCAUUGAUAACGGGAUCACAUCAUUAGGAGAAUGAUGUGAUGGACAAGACACAAUCCUAAGCAUAGCACAAGAUCGUGUAGUUCGUUUGCUAAAGCUUUUCUAAUGUGGAAGGGAACUGCAAGUGCAACUCCCGGAUACUGUAGGAAUGCUUUGGGUGUAUCAAACAUCACAACGUAACUGGGUGUACCGAAAGUGUCUGUUGGGUUGGCACGAAUCAAGACUGGGAUUUGUCACUCCGUAUGACGGAGAGGUAUCUCUAGGCCCACUCAGUAAUGCAUCAUCAUAAUGAGCUCAAUGUGACUAAGUAGUUGGUCACGGGAUCAUGCAUUACAGAAUGAGUAAAGUGACUUGCCGGUAACGAGAUUGAACGAGGUAUUGGGAUACCGACGAUCGAAUCUCGGGCAAGUAACGUACCGAUUGACAAAGGGAAUUGUGUAUGGGAUUACUUGAAUCAUCGACGUCGUGGUUCAUCCGAUGAGAUCAUCGUGGAACAUGUGGGAGCCAACAUGGGUAUCCAGAUCCCGUUGGUAGUUAUUGGCCGGAGAGCUGUCUUGGUCAUGUCUGUAUGAUUCCCGAACGUAUAGGGUCUACACACUUAAGGUUCGAUGACGCUAGGGUUAUAGGGAAGGUUUGUAUGUAGUUACCGAAUGUUGUUCUGAGUCCCAAAUGAGACCCCGGAUGUCACGAGGAGUUCCAGAAUAGUCAAGAGGUAUUUAUAUAUGGGAAGUCAUCAUACGGUCACCGGAAGUAUUCGGGGGUUUAUCGAUAUUGUACCUGGACCACCGAAGGGGUUCUGGGGGUCCACCUGCCCCGGAGGGACCUUAUGGUCUGUAUGUGGAAGGGAACUAGCCCCAAGUGGGCUGGGCGCCACCCCCUAGGGCCCAUGCGCCUAGGGUUGGGGGGACCCUAAAGGGGGCGCCCCGCUUGGCUUGGGGGGCAAGCCCCCUCCCCUUGGUCGCCGCCCUCCCUCUAGAUCUCAUCUAGAGGGGCCGCCCCCCUUCCCCCUUCACCCUAUAAAUAGAGGGGAGGAGGGAGGGCGGCUGCACCACAUCCAAGGCGCAACCCUCCCCCUCUCCAACACCUCUCCUCCUCCGUUUGAGCUUGGCAAAGCCCUGCCGGAGAACCGCUGCUCCACCACCACCACGCUGUCGUGCUGCUACUGGAGCCUUCUUCCUCAACCUCUCCCUCCUCUUUGCUGGAUCAAGGCGCGAAGACGUCACCGGGCUGCACGUGUGUUGAACGUGGAGGUGCCAUUGUUUGGCGCUUAGAUCGGAAUCCACCGCGAUCUGAAUCGCUACGAGUACGACUCCUUCAUCCGUGUUCUUGUAACGCUUCCAUGUCGCGAUCUUAAAUGGUAUGAAGAUGCACUCCCCUCUCUCCCGUUGCUAGUUUCUCCAUAGAUUGAACUUGGUGAUGCAUAGAAAAUUUCAAUUUCUGCAACGAUCCCCAACAGCUCGUCCAGGAGCUCAUCAAUGACCGGAAUGGGAAAUUUGUCCUUGAGCGACUUGGCAUUAAGAGCAUGAUAGUUGAUGCAGAAGCGCCAUGUGUCGUCCGCCUUACGAACAAGGAGAACCCGCACUGAAAACGGCGAGGUCGAGAUCUGGAUGAUGCCCAGGGCAAGCUUGACCGCGUACUGCCGCUCCAGCUCAUCCUUCUGCAGCUGGCGGUAGCGGUAUGGACGUGCCACCAUAGGAGUUGUGCCAGGGAGCAGGAGAAUGCAGUGGUCAUACACUAAUCAUGCACGCAAACAUGUACAAUCAAGAUCAGGGACUCACGGGAAGAUAUCACAACACAACUCUAAAAACAUAAAUAAGUCAUACAAGCAUCAUAAUACAAGCCAGGGGCCUCGAGGGCUCGAAUACAAGUGCUCGAUCAUAGACGAGUCAGCGGAAGCAACAAUAUCUGAGUACAGACAUAAGUUAAACAAGUAUGCCUUAAGAAGGCUAGCACAAACUGGGAUACAGAUCGAAAGAGGCGCAGGCCUCCUGCCUGGGAUCCUCCUAAACUACUCCUGGUCGUCGUCAGCAGGCUGCACGUAGUAGUAGGCACCUCCAGUGUAGUAGUCGUCGUCGACGGUGGCGUCUAGCUCCUGGGCUCCAAAGUCUGGUUGCGGCAUCCGGAAAGAAGAGGAAAAUGGGGAAAAGAGGGAGCAAAGCAACCAUGAGUACUCAUCCAAAGUACUCGCAAGCAAGGAGCUACACUACAUAUGCAUGGGUAUAUGUGUAAGUAGUUAAAAUCAGUGGACUGAACUGCCGAAUGCCAGAAUAAGAGGGGGAUAGCUAGUCCUAUCGAAGACUACGCUUUUGGCAGCCUCCGUCUUGCAGCAUGUAGAAGAGAGUAGAUUGAAGUCCUCCAAGUAGCAUCGCAUAGCAUAAUCCUACCCGACGAUCCUCCCCUCGUCACCCUGUGGAAAAGCGAUCACCGGGUUGUCUGUGGAACUUGUCUGGGUGUGUUUUAUUAAGUAUCCGGUUCUAGUUGUCAUAAGGUCAAGGUACAACUCCGGGUCGUCCUUUUACCGAGGAACACAACUAUUUGAAUAGAUUAACUUCCCUGCAGGGGUGCACCACAUAACCCAACAUGCUCGAUCCCAUUUGGCCGGACACACUUUCCUGGGUUAUGCCCGGCCUCGGAAGAUCAACACGUCGCAGCCCCACCUAGGAACAACAGAGAGGUCAGCCCGCCGGUCUAAAUCCUAUGCACGCAGGGGUCUGGGCCCAUCGCCCAUUGCACACCUGCAUGUUGCGAGGGCGGCCGGAAGCAGACCUAGCAACCUCCAUUACAAAGGAAGUCACGUUACGCGGUCCAAUCCGGCGCGUGCCGCUCCGUCACUGAUGUCAAGAAGGCUUCGGCUGAUACCACGACGUCGAGUGCCCAUAUCUUUCCCGCGUAGUUGGUUAGUGCGUAUAGGCCAGUGGCCAGACUCAGAUCAAAUACCAAGAUCUCGUUAAGCGUGUUAUUAUGAAGUAACCGCGAACGCCGAUUAGGGCCAGGCCCACCUCUCGCCUAGCUGGUCUCAGCCUGCCCUGUCGCUUCGCCACAAAGAUCCACACAGAGGGCCGUCGGGACAAAGGUCCUUUCAGCCCCCAAUCCGUGAAUCACUCGCGAGUACUCUUCGAGCGGACCCGACUUUAGUCACCAUCUGAAGUAUGUAUAUAUGUAUAGCAUAUACCCGUGAUCACCUCCCAAGUGAUCACGGCCCGAUAGUAUAGCAAGGCAGACUGACAAGAAUAUAGGGCCAAUGAUGAUAAACUAAGCAUUUAGGAUUGCGGGUAAGGUAUGAAUGACUAUAGCAACAAUGAUAGGCUAUGCAAUAGAAUAGGAGUAACCGAACAGUAACAUGCUACACUACUCUAAUGCAAGCAGUAUAGAGAAGAAUAUGCGAUAUCUGGUGAUCAAGGGGGGGGGGCUUGCUUGGUUGCUCUGGCAAGAAGGAGGGGUCGUCAACCCCGUAGUCGAACUGGGCAGCAGCAGCGUCGGUCUCGUAGUCUACCAAAGAGAAGAGGGGGAAGAAACAAUGAAUAACAUGCAAACAGAUGCAUAUCGAUGCAUAACAAGACAAGUAACGAUGCUAGGUGUGCCCAAUCGCGGUAGUAGGUGAUACCUACGAAGGGGAAAACAUCUGGGAAAGUAUUCCCGGUGUUUCGCGUUUUCGGACAGAUGAACCGGAGGGGGAAAGUUGCGUGUUUGCUAUGCUAGGGAUGUGUGGCGGACAAACGGGCUGCGCAUCCGGAUCCGUCUCGUUGUUCUGAGCAACUUUGAUGUAGAAAGUAUUUUCAUCUGAGCUACAGUUUAUUUUAUAUGAGUUUUAAAAGAUUUAAAUUAUUUUAGUAUUAAUUUAAAUAUUUUAAUUCAACAUUAUCCAGAAUAGUGUUUGCUGACGUCAUCAUGAUGUCAGCAUGAUGUCAUCAGUCAACAGAGGUGUUGACUGGUCAACUAACGUGUGGGUCCCGUAUGUCAUACUCUGUUUAGGUUAAUCAGGAUUAGCUAAUCUAAUUACUGUUUAAUUAAACUAACUAGUUAAUUAGAUUAAUUAAGCAGGAUUAAUUAACUUAAUUAAUUCACUAAUUAAUUAAUUAUUAAUUGUAUUAAUUCAUUUUUUUAAAUUUUGAUUUCUUUUAUUUUAUAAAAAAACAUUCUGGGGCUGGGCCCGUUUGUCAUAGGCCCUAGGGAGGCCUAACGGGUUUGGGCGCGGGCGCCCGACAGGGGCGAGAUCGUGCGCGGCGUCACCCGAGCGAGAGCGCCAGCGAGCAGGGCGGCCGCGACUCGGGCGGGGCCGGGCGGAGGACGACGAGGGAAGGAUGGCUGGGGGCGCGACCGCCGGUGCAAGCAGCGGGCGGAGGAGGCGGCGACGUCAGGAGGGUAGCAGCGGGCAGAGCGCGCUCGGGCGACGACCAAGCCACGGUGGAUGCACGCUCGGGUGGCGCAGGGGCACGGCCAGGGGCGCGCGUGUGCGUGUUGGUGCAAGGCAGAGCCAACGUGAGUGGAACGCCAGCCAUGGUAACUUCUACCGCGGGACGACAACGACGAGCACAUCGGUCAGAGGAUGUAGAUCAAGGGGAAGGCAGAGGGAAAAAGCGCAUCGGCUCACAUCAUUGACGGGGAGAGGCUCGGGGAGGCGCGGGAUGCAGUGAAGCCGUCGGAACCCACAAUGAACGGCGGUGGAGAUGAGCUCGAUGGCGAGCGUACGGGCUGUCCCGGCUCGAUUCAGAGCAUGUAGGCGAAUGAGACGAUGAUGGAGAAGCUCCUGGAUGCCUUGGAGCGAUGAGGGGAAGCCGAUGGCCACCGGAUCGACGAGGUGGCGAUGAUGGUGGCGGCGGGCGGUGGUGCGGCAGGCGCGGCGCGAGGUUGGUCGGAGGCGCGGUAGCCGUGGUGCGGGAGAGGUCCGGGAAGGCGAGGACGGCGCCUGAUGCUUGCUGCCGCGGUGGAGGUCCAGGGGGUGAAGCAGGAUCGAACGGAGGAAGGAGAGGCUGCGAGGGAGUCGGGCAUGAGGCGCCUCGCCUCUGGUCUUGAUGUGCAGCGGCACGAGGGGCGAGGUGAGGGAUCGAGCGAGGAGUGGGGAGGGGGGAAUCAGGGGGAGUGGGUGCGGUUAGGGUUUCAGGGUGACUCAGGGGGUUAUAGGGGGCGGCUGGGCCGGCCUGGUUGGCCCGAUGGCUAGCUGGGCCGAGGCCCAGCGAGGGAGGGGGGUUUCCCUUUCUUUUGUCUUUAUUAUACUUUCAUUUAAUUUUCCUUUUCUAUUUUCUGUUUUACUUUAGUUCCACUUUUAUUUUAGUUUUGUAAACUAUAAAAGCAAUCCCUAAUUUAGUGUUAGUAAAUUGGCUACUGCCACAUAAGUUUGGGCAACUAAAUAAAAUAGUUUAAUAUUUUAUUUUGUAAAAGGCAUUUAACUAAUUGUUUUUGUUACUGUUUAAAAUAUUUUUAGAGUAUUAAAACCUUUCUAAAAGUGUGGUUUCCCCACCAUACUUUCCUAUGCAUUAUUUGGCUCACCACGAACAUUUUAGUUUUAAUAUUUGAAAACUUUUAUUGUUUGCUUGAUUUUGAAUUUGAAUUUGUAUCGAUUUCAAACUAUCGCGAGAUUAGUAACAGUAAUCGAGGUGACGUGGCAUCAUUAGCAGAUGGUUACUGUAGCUUAAUUAUCCGGGCGUCACAAUUCUCCUCCACUACAAGAAAUCUCGUCCUGAGAUUUAAGCGGUGGAGUAAGGGGGAAAGUGCUGGCAGCGAAAACCUAACGAGUCUUCUCGAUCUUGGCUGCCCUUUCUAAGAGGUUGAUCCCUUUCGUUGAUGUCUUCAUCUCUCUGCUUCAAGUCACCAUGAUCAAUUUUUCAUCCUUUCUUCGGGAUCUCCAUCGUCCUACGUACGUGACCAAGGGGGAAAAAACUCCGGAAGAACGCAUCUCCACAAAGCUGGGCAUCUGACGGUGAACUCGAUGAGAAAUACACAAGGUACCCCACGAGUUGUAUUUCAGUGAAUUCGUUGAGUGCAAUAUACGAUGGUACCAAAGUUUUAAACGGGUAGGAAAUGAUUCAAUGACUAGACAGAAGCUGGAAUGGGGUUUGCACAACGAGAAUAACAUGGUGUUUGAUUCCAGAAUGAUUAAUGGUAUAGAAUUUAGCUUGUGAAUCACAUACGAAGCCAGGUGCAAAGGAUACAUUAGAAUCCGGGUUGUAAAGGAGAGUCAGGUUUCAAUCAAGUGGACUUGUGGGUUAUGGGCCCACCAUGUGGGUUGAAAGUAGGAAGGGUGGUGACAUCUUGCACAGCCGCGACAGGGAGGCUUGUCAGUGAAUAGCUUGUCAGCUAUGCUGGCAACAAUGUCGGUACCAAGGACGGGGGACGAAGAGAACCUUUUUCCUACUCAUUGAACGAGGCGUACCAGUAGGCAAAGUUCUCGUCCAUCGCUGGUUAUCGGAAUGUCAUCAAUCAAAAGUAACAGGGUCUUUCUGACAGAAUUGUACAUUGAGGUGUUUACAAAAGUAGGAGUAUAUUACUGCUUAGAUCAUAUAGAUCACAAGAAAGGUUAAACCAAACAAUGGAAAGGAAAAUAUGAUUAUCAGGUUUAAGCAGAACAAUGGAAAGGAAAAUGUGUUAAAACACAUAUUUCAAGGGUAUAUCCUUUCCAAGGACAAGCAGAGCAUGAUAUCCAUGACAUGAUAUAAUGUAGAAAACUCUUUAGGUAAGGGGAGAGAAAUUUCAUGCCAUUACCCAUACAACGGUGUUUGGAUAAUUGAUAAAGAAAGUUUAGCAUUGUGCUUCAAAUGUUCUUAUUGAAAUUCGGAGUCCCACAAACAUGCUUCAAGAUAGCAUUGACAUGGUCUUCAGGGAAAGGUCAGACUUUGGAUUCACAAAGGAUCCAUCAGGAACAACUUGUAGAAUAAGUCUUACAAUUUCCUCAUGGAAGAAUCGAUAGCCUUGCUGACAAGGAAACUAUAACAAUAGGUCCUCUGGCCAGGUGUACUAGGCAUGACACCUCCUUACUGGGUCAUAUAAAUACCAAUGUUAUAACUCUUGGAAAUAUGUUUCAACAUCAUAUCUGACCGAGAUUCAGAUCUGAUUGGUGUCAGGACACCUCGGACUCAGGAUGCCUGAGAAGAAGAGGUGCAACACAAUUGACGAGACGCCAUUAUAUGAAUCUUGGGAAAUGAACUAUGGAAGCGAGUUCCAGACAAGGGUUCACCAUUAAUCAAGGAGAGGUGAGGAGGGGACUGAUUGACUCAGCGACAAUCCAUUGAGAUUUCCAAAAACAUGGAUUUCCACAACUAUGUGAACAAGAAGAUAAUAUUAGCUAGAUCAAAUGACUUAAUGGUGUAUGCUCGAGGAAAACAUACACAGUUAAACAUUGGUUGAAAUGUGCACCCGAAAUAUGGGCUAGGUAGCACGAUCAAUGUUCGAAUGAUGAUUCAAUAAGCCAUAGAAGUAGAAUGAAACUAUAGACCAAUAACUUCAAGGCAAUAGGGUUGCCAGAAGUUUAGAAUUUACACAUCACAUACCAUUUGUUGGUAUUCCGGUUAGAAACAACACGGGGACCAAGAAAUGAAUGGUGAUGUUAAUAAGAAUCACUUGUAUCAAGAAUUCUUAAGGGUGGUGAAUUUCCCACGACAUUCUUGACAUAAAAGGUGGUAAUAUUCCAAGGUAAAGAAGAACAAUGCUCGGUAGCAAGGAACUCAAGGUAUAACACAAAACACGAACAAGUUUGUGUUGGAGGGAAGGCAGUAGAGUGGUUGAUGAUAACACAAAUCAUCGAGGCAAGGAUGGUAUUUCUCAUCAUGAAUCCGAUUGAUAUCCUAGAAGAGCUCAUAAGGUUGAUGAUGAUCACGACACAUUUGUCGAGAGGUUACACGAAGAUGUAAUUGAUCGACGAAGACAUCAAGUCAAACAAAUGAUGAAGCGAGAGGUUAUUGGAACCACGGUUAGGACAAAAACUCCAAAGCAAGCUUGUUGUCCAAAGCAAAAUGAUAUGAUGAGGAGAGAUCGACGUAAGCCUAGCUCAUCAUCAAAAAUUAUGCUCUGGGAAGAGGACCAGGUAGCACAGUUAAAAUCGGCACGACAAGGAUAUAGCCAAACAGGCUAGGAAUAACGUGAUUGAGUUCAAACUCGUAAGUAAUGAAGGUUACCAAGAGUUUCUUAAUCGCGAUGUGGACUUGGGUCAGUUAUCGGUGUCUUUGAGUGUUAAAUAACUCAGAGUCCGUGAAAAAUUGGAAUCAAUGAGAAUGUAGCACUUGAUGAAGGACUCGUAAUAAGUUAUGCAGUUCCGUGAUAAUCUUGAGAUACCAGGGGGGUAAUACUCGAGGACAAUUCAAAGUAGAGGUUGGACUGGGGUAUUACUCUACAGAAGACAAGUGGUUAAACUUGCACGAGAAAUGGUAUUUAAAGGAGAACAUGGUCGGAGACCUCGAUCAUAAAUGAUCGAACCACAGAUAUAGGAUGAACUUAUAACGAGGGGGUAACUAUUUUUACGAGCAGCUUCCAUGAUAAGUUAUACAUCGUGUCCAUGGGCAUGAACGCAAGGUUCAAGGUCGACUCCCACUUCUUUAAUGUAUAACCUCCCAUUCACUUCUCGCUUUGAUAAAGGCAUUAGUGUUGAAAGUUUUACCUGGUGUAAUACCAGAUGAGUAUGACUCGUGAAAACUUUCGAGUUCACACAUAUUAAGGAAGGCAUAGGUUCAACACGUCAGGGUAUCGUGGAAGCAUAAACCACAAGCUUCAAUAGUAAAUAACACAAGCUCGAUAGUAGAGCUUGGUUGACAAAAACAGAGGAUACAAUUUACCUAAGGCAUUAUGUAUCAGGGAAAGAACUUCUCGAGGUUUUUGUAUAUGAAGGACACUGUCGGAUGCUAUUUCAACAAAGGAUCCAACGGUCCUUAGUGAAACUGAUGUGAGUAUCAGCACACAACCAGAGGUAGAAACAAUGCGAAGGCAUUGGAUUAUAGAAGCAACUGACUAAUUCAAAUCUCACAUGUAAAGGAAUUAUGAUUACCAAAUCAAAGGAUUAGAAGCAAACGCUCUGAUUAAGGAUGGAUAAGUUGAGUAAGCAUAGGGGUAAAAUCAACAACAAUUUGAUUGGUCGAGAUCAAGAUCAUGUUUAAAGUGACGUCUGAGUCGAAAAGAUAAUUUAAAAGGAUCAAAUGAUGAUUGCGUGCAUUCACACUCAUGUUGAAUCAAUAGGAUCAAAAUAACGGUGCCUAAGGAUACUAACGAAUAUUGCCAGACAUAUGGAAAGCAUCCACAAUGCAAGCAGACAAGUAUUGCAGAGCAAUAAGCUACUAAGGAUUUUUGGAGGAUCAAAUAGUAUUUCGAAGACCAUUGUGGAACACAUGAACAACGGUGAAAGAACGGAUACUCGGUAAGCAUGAGGAAUUAUCCAUAGGGGGUAUUCAUGUGGCAAAGAUCUGCAAUGCAAUGGCUCAAAAGAUUCUUAAAAGUCGAAGAACAAUUCGAUGCAUCUUGUAAUAACAAGAGCAGCUAGGGAUGAAUGUAAGAAUGGCAAGGAUAAUAUGAUUUAUCGGUGGUAGGGAAUUGCAAAAGAAGUGGGCACAAAGUCUCGAGAGAACUUCAGCGAGUAUCUUCGGAAUCUUCUAGAGUAGCAAACGAUCAUCGGGAGUGAGGGGCUCUCCGGGAGAAAGUAUUUUGAAGAACCUAAAGUUAGUUUUGUUUUUAGCAAAAUCAUUUAACCCGAAUAGAAGAGAGAUCAGAGUCCUAGAGUAUAGGUCGAGGAAUAAAAGAUCCUAAUACGACCCAAUGGCGACGUGAGCCCGUAAGACUCACAGCCAUGUUAGUAAAAGUUUUGCAAUGUCUAGACUAGACUUCGGCCAAGGAGUGUGGAAGGGGGAUUCCUACAGGCAGUCGGCUCUGAUACCAACUUGUGAUGCCCCCGAUUCAAUCGUACACUAAUCAUGCACGCAGACGUGUACGGUCAAGAUCAGGCACUCACGGGAAGAUAUCACAACACAACUCUAAAAACAUAAAUAAGUCAUACAAGCAUCAUAAUACAAGCCAGGGGCCUCGAGGGCUCGAAUACAAGUGCUCGAUCAUAGACGAGUCAGCGGAAGCAACAAUAUCUGAGUACAGACAUAAGUUAAACAAGUAUGCCUUAAGAAGGCUAGCACAAACUGGGAUACAGAUCGAAAGAGGCGCAGGCCUCCUGCCUGGGAUCCUUCUAAACUACUCCUGGUCGUCGUCAGCAGGCUGCACGUAGUAGUAGGCACCUCCAGUGUAGUAGUCGUCAACGACGGUGGCGUCUAGCUCCUGGGCUCCAAAGUCUGGUUGCGGCAUCCGGAAAGAAGAGGAAAAUGGAGAAAAGAGGGAGCAAAGCAACCACGAGUACUCAUCCAAAGUACUCGCAAGCAAGGAGCUACACUACAUAUGCAUGGGUAUAUGUGUAAGUAGGCAAAAUCAGUGGACUGGACUGCAGAAUGCCAGAAUAAGAGGGGGAUAGCUAGUCCUAUUGAAGACUACGCUUCUGGCAGCCUCCGUCUUGCAGCAUGUAGAAGAGAGUAGAUUGAAGUCCUCCAAGUAGCAUCGCAUAGCAUAAUCCUACCCGGCGAUCCUCCCCUCGUCGCCCUGUGGAAAAGCGAUCACCGGGUUGUCUGUGGAACUUGUCUGGGUGUGUUUAUUAAGUAUCCGGUUCUAGUUGUCAUAAGGUCAAGGUACAACUCUGGGUCGUCCUUUUACCGAGGAACACGGCUAUUCGAAUGGAUUAACUUCCCUGUAGGGGUGCACCACAUAACCCAACACGCUCGAUCCCAUUUGGUCGGACACACUUUCCUGGGUCAUGCCCGGCCUCGGAAUAUCAACACGUCGCAGCCCCACCUCUCUAUUGUGCCUAGGUGGGGCUAGGAUUUAGACCAGCAGCGUCGGUCUAAAUCCUAUGCGCGCAGGGGUCUGGGCCCAUUGCCCAUUGCACACCUGCACGUUGCGAGGGCGGCCGGAAGCAGAGCUAGCAACCUCCAUUACAAAGGAAGUCACGUUACGCGGUCCAAUCCGGCGCGCGCCGCUCCAUCGCUGACGUCAAGAAGGCUUCGGCUGAUACCACGACGUCGAGUGCCCAUAUCUUUCCCGCGUAGUUGGUUAGUGCGUAUAGGCCAGUGGCCAGACUCAGAUCAAAUACCAAGAUCUCGUUAAGCAUGUUAUUAUGAAGUAACCGCGAACACUGACUAGGGCCAGGCCCACCUCUCGCCUAGGUGGUCUCCACCUGCCCUGUUGCUUCGCCACAAAGAUCCACACAGAGGGCCAUCGGGACAAAGGUCCUUUCAGCCCCCAAUCCGUGAAUCACUCGCGAGUACUCUUCGAGCGGACCCGACUUUAGUCACCAUCUGAAGUAUGUAUAUAUGUAUAAUAUAUACCCGUGAUCACCUCCCAAGUGAUCACGACCCGAUAGUAUAGCAAGGCAGACUGACAAGAAUAUAGGGCCAAUGAUGAUAAACUAGCAUCCUAUACUAAGCAUUUAGGAUUGCGGGUAAGGUAUCAAUGACUAUAGCAACAAUGACAAGCUAUGCAACAAAAUAGGAGUAACCGAACAGUAACAUGCUACACUACUCUAAUGCAAGCAGUAUAGAGAAGAAUAGGCGAUAUCUGGUGAUCAAGGGGGGGCUUGCCUGGUUGCUCUGGCAAGAAGGAGGGGUCGUCAACUCUGUAGUCGAACUGGGCAGCAGCAGCGUCGGUCUCGUAGUCUACCGAAGAGAAGAGAGGGAAGAAAAAAUGAAUAACAUGCAAACAGAUGCAUAUCGAUGCAUGACAAGACAAGUAAUGAUGCUAGGUGUGCCCAAUCGCGGUAGUAGGUGAUACCGACGAAGGGGGAAAACAUACGGGAAAGUAUUCCCGGUGUUUCGCAUUUUCGGACAGAUGAACCGGAGGGGGAAAGUUGUGUGUUUGCUAUGCUAGGGAUGUGUGGCGGACAAAUGGGUUGCGUAUACGGAUCCGUCUCGUUGUUCUGAGCAACUUUCAUGUAGAAAGUAUUGUCAUCUGAGCUACGGUUUAUUUUAUAUGAGUUUUAAAAAAUUUAAAUUAUUUUAGGAUUAAUUUAAAUAUUUUAAUUCAACGUUAUCCAGAACAGUGUUUGCUGACGUCACCAUGACGUCAGCAUGACAUCAUCAGUUAACAGAGGUGUUGACUGGUCAACUAACGUGUGGGUCCCGUAUGUCAUACUCUGUUUAGGUUAAUCACGAUUAGCUAAUCUAGUUACUGUUUAAUUAAACUAACUAGUUAAUUAGAUUAAUUAAGCAGGAUUAAUUAACUUAAUUAAUUCACUAAUUAAUGAAUGAUUAGUUUUAUAAAUUCAUUUUUUAAAAUUUUGUUUUCUUUUAUUUUAUAAAAAAAACAUUCUGGGGCUGGGCCCGUUUGUCUUAGGCCCUAGGGAGGCCUAACGGGUUUGGGCGCGGGUGCGCGAACGGGCGCGGGCGCUCGACAGGGGCGAGAUCGUGCGCGGCGUCACCCGAGCAAGAGCGCCGGCGAGCAGGGCGGCCGCGACUCGGGCGGGGCCGGACGGAGGACGACGAGGGAAGGGUGGUUGGGGGCGCGACCGCCGGCGCAAGCAGCGGGCGGAGGAGGCAGCGACGUCAGGCGGGUAGCAGCGGGCAGAGCGCGCUCGGGCGACGGCCAAGCCACGGUGGAUGCACGCUCGGGCGGCGCAGGGGCACAGCCAGGGGUGCGCGUGUGCGUGUUGGAGCAAGGCAGAGCCAACGUGAGUGGAGCGCCGGCCAUGGUGACUUCUACCGCGGGACGACAACGACGAGCACAUCGGCCAGAGGAUGUAGAUCAAGGGGAAGGCAGAGGGGAAAAGCGCGUCGGCUCACAUCGUUGACGGGGAGAGGCUCGGGGAGGCGCGGGAUGCAGUGAAGCCGUCGGAACCCACAACGAACGGCGGUGGAGAUGAGCUCGAUGGCGAGCGUACGGGCUGUCCCGGCUCGAUUCAGAGCACGUAGGCGAACUAGACGACGAUGGCGAAGCUCCUGGACGCCUUGGAGCGAUGAGGGGAAGCCGGUGGCCACCGGAUCGACGAGGUGGCGACGAUGGUGGCGGCGGGCGGUGGUGCUGCAGGCGCGGCGCGAGGUUGGUCGGAGGCGCGGUAGCCGUGGUGCGGGAAAGGUCCGAGAAGGCGAGGACGGCGCCUGAUGCUUGCUGCCGCGGUGGAGGUCCAGGGGGUGAAGCAGGACCGAACGGAGGAAGGAGUGGCUGCGAGGGGGUCGGGCAUGAGGCGCCUCGCCUCUGGUCUCGAUGUGCGGCGGCGCGAGGGGGGAGGUGANNNNNNNNNNNNNNNNNNNNNNNNNNNNNNNNNNNNNNNNNNNNNNNNNNNNNNNNNNNNNNNNNNNNNNNNNNNNNNNNNNNNNNNNNNNNNNNNNNNNNNNNNNNNNNNNNNNNNNNNNNNNNNNNNNNNNNNNNNNNNNNNNNNNNNNNNNNNNNNNNNNNNNNNNNNNNNNNNNNNNNNNNNNNNNNNNNNNNNNNNNNNNNNNNNNNNNNNNNNNNNNNNNNNNNNNNNNNNNNNNNNNNNNNNNNNNNNNNNNNNNNAUCGGGGGGAGUGGGUGCGGUUAGGGUUUCGGGGUGACUCAGGGGGUUAUAGGGGGCGGCUGGGCCGGCCUGGUUGGCCCGAUGGCUAGCUCGGCCGAGGCCCAGCGAGGGAGGGGGGGGGGUUUCUCUUUCUUUUAUCUUUAUUUUACUUUUGUUUAAUUUUCCUUUUCUGUUUUUUGUUUUACUUUAGUUCCACUUUUAUUUUAGUUUUGUAAACUAUAAAAGCAGUCCCUAAUUUAGUGUUAGUAAGUAGGCUACUGCCACAUAAGUUUGGGCAACUAAAUAAAAUAGUUUAAUAUUUUAUUUUGUAAAAGGCAUUUAAGUAAUUGUUUUUAUUACUGUUUAAAAUAUUUUUAGAGUAUUAAAACCUUUCUAAAAGUGUGGUUUCCCCACCAUACUUUCCUAUGCAUUAUUUAGCUCACCCCGAACAUUUUAGUUUUAAUAUUUGAAAACUUUUGUUGUUUGCUUGAUUUUGAAUUUGAAUUUGAAUCGAUUUCAAGCUAACGCGAGAUUAGUAACAGUAAUCGAGGCGACGUGGCAUCAUUAGCAGAUGGUUACUGUAGCUUAAUUAUCCGGGCAUCACACCCUUCACCCUAUAAAUAGAGGGGAGGAGGGAGGGCAGCUGCACCACAUCCAAGGCGCAACCCUCCCCCUCUCCAACACCUCUCCUCCUCCGUUUGAGCUUGGCAAAGCCCUGCCGGAGAACCGCUGCUCCACCACCACCACGCUGUCGUGCUGUGCUGGAGCCUUCUUCCUCAACCCCUCCCUCCUCCUUCCUGGAUCAAGGCGCGAAGACGUCACCGGGCUGCACGUGUGUUGAACGCGGAGGUGCCAUUGUUUAGCGCUUAGAUCGGAAUCCACCGCGAUCUGAAUCUCUACGAGUAUGACUCCUUCAUCCGCGUUCUUGUAACGCUUCCGUGUCGCGAUCUUCAAUGGUAUGAAGAUGCACUCCCCUCUCUCCCGUUGCUAGUUUCUCCGUAGAUUGAACUUGGUGAUGCGUAGAAAAUUUUAAUUUCUGCAACGAUCCCCAACAGCUCGUCCAGGAGCUCAUCGAUGACCGGAAUGGGAAAUUUGUCCUUGAGCGACUUGGCAUUAAGAGCACGAUAGUUGAUGUAGAAGCGCCAUGUGUCGUCCGCCUUACGAACGAGGAGAACCGGCACUGAAAACGGCGAGGUCGAGAUCUGGAUGAUGCCCAGGGCAAGCUUGACCGUGCACUGCUGCUCCAGCUCGUCCUUCUGCAGCUGGCGGUAGUGGUAUGGACGGGCCGCCAUAGGAUCUAUGCUAGGGAGCAGGUGAAUGCAGUGGUCGUAGACUCGGGCUGGCGGAAGUCAUGCCGCCACGAGCGGUCUUGAAGGGGCCUACCAUGUAGAGCCCCCAGACCAUAAAGGGCUAGGUGAUCAGGAUGGUUUGCAGUGCUGAAGCCGGCUGGUGGUUGCGCCUUGCCGAAGCGUUGGCAUCCCUCGCACUUGAGGACGAGCGACUUGGCAUCUUUGAGGGCCGUGGGCCAGUAGAAACCAUGGCGGAAGGCCUUGGCCACCAGGGAUCUGGAGGCCGCGUGGUGCCCGCACUCACCCUGAUGUAUGUCGAGGAGGAUCUCUAUGCCCUUGUCUUGCUCGACACAGCACUGGAACACGCCUGUCGCGCUGCGCUUAACGAGCUCGUUGUUGAUGAUGCUAUAGGUGGACGCCCGGUGUUGCACUUGCCGGGCCUCGGUCUUGUCCAUGGGGAGUACUCCGUUCUCCAGGAACGCUAAGAUGGUCUAGGCCCAUGACAGAGCCGUCACCACUAUGAAGACCGCCACCAGGACGGCUCCUGGGGCGGCAGCCCUCGAGCCGGAGGUGGCAGCCCCCGGGUCAGGGAUGACGGCGGCCGAGUUGAGCAUGGUGGUUUAUGGGCCGGGUUCGGCAGCCUCCGGGAUGGGAUCAGAAGUCCCCGGGCCGGGAUCGACAGCCCCCGGGUCCGUGUUGGGGAUAGUGAUACGUCUCCAAUGUAUCUAUAAUUUUUGAUUGCUCCAUGCUACUCUAUCUACUGUUUUGGACUAUAUUGGGCUUUAGUUUCCACUUUUAUAUUAUUUUUGGGACUAACCUAUUAACCGGAGGCCCAUCCUAGAAUUGCUAUUUUUUUUGCCUUUUUCAGUGUUUCGAAGAAACAAAAUAUCAAACGGAGUCCAAACGGAAUGAAACCUUCGGGAACGUGAUUUUCUCAUCAGAUAAGACCCAGGAGACUUGGAACCUCCGUCAAGAAAGCCACUAGGCGGUCACGAGGGGGGGCACCCCCCUGGAGCAAUCAAAGGAGCCAAAACCCUAAUUCCACCGCCGCAACCUUCUGUAUCCACGAGAUCCCAUCUUGGGGCCUGUUCCGGAGCUCCACCGGAGGGGGCAUCCACCACAAAGGGCUUCUACAUCAACACCAUAGCCCCUCCGAUGAAGUGUGAGUAGUUUACUUCAGACCUUCGGGUCCAUAACUAGUAGCUAGAUGGCUUCUUCUCUCUUUUUGGAUCUCAAUACAAUGUUCUCCCCCUCUCUCGUGGAGAUCUAUUCAAUGUAAUCUUCUUUUUUUGCGGUGUGUUUGUUGAGACCGAUGAAUUGUGGGUUUAUGAUCCAUUAUUAUCUAUGGAAAAUAUUUGAUUCUUCUCUGAAUUCUUUUAUGUAUGAUUGAGUUAUCUUUGCAAGUCUCUUUGAAUUAUCCUUUUUGGUUUGGCCAACUAGAUUGGUAGUUCUUGCAAUUGUAGAAGUGCAUAGCUUUGGGUUCAAUCUUGCGGUGUCCUUUCCCAGUGACAGAAGGGGCAGCAAGGCACAUAUUGUAUUGUUGCCAUCGAGGAUAACAAGAUGGUUUUUUUUAUCAUAUUGCAUGAAUUUAUCCCUCUACAUCAUGUAAUCUUGCUUAAGGUGUUACUCUCUUUUUAACUUAAUACUCUAGAUGCAUGCUGGAUAGCGGUCGAUGAGUGGAGUAAUAGUAGUAGAUGCAGAAUCGUUUCGAUCUACUUGUCUUGGACGUGAUGCCUAUAUACAUGAUCAUUGCCUAGAUAUACUAAUAACUAUGCUCAGUUCUGUCAAUUUCUCAACAGUAAUUUGUUCACCCACCGUAGAAUACUUAUGCUCUUGAGAGAAGCCACUAGUGAAACCUAUGGCCCCCGGGUCUAUUCUCAUCAUAUCAAUCUCUAUCACUUUAUUUACUUGCUUUGCUUUUACUUUGCCUUUUACUUUUCACUUUGCAUCUAUCUAUCAAAAAUACCAAAAAUAUUAUUUAUCAUCUCUAUCAGAUCUCACCCUCGUAAGUGACCGUGAAGGGAUUGACAACCCCUAAUCACGUUGGUUGCGAGUAGCUAUCGUUUUGUGUAGGUACGAGGGACUUGUUCGUGGUCUCCUACUGGAUUGAUACCUUGGUUCUCAAAAACUGAGGGAAAUACUUACGCUACUUUGCUGCAUCAUCCUCUCCUCUUCGGGGAAAUCCAACGCAGUGCUCAAGAGGUAGCAAGAAGAAUUUCUGGCGCCGUUGCCGGGGAGGCUCACACAAGCAAGUCAACUAUACCAAGUACCCAUCGCAAUCCCUAUCUCUCGCAUUACAUUAUUUGCCAUUUGCCUCUCGUUUUCCUCUCCCCCACUUCACCCUUGCCGUUUUCUUCGCUCUCUCUUUUUCGUUCGCCUUCUUCCCGUAUGUAUCUUUGUUUGUGUUUCCUUGUGCCUUCUAUAUGCUUGCAUCUUUGCUUGCUAAAAAUCUAUUGAUAUGGAUCCACUUAAAGUGUUCUACUUGGAUCAUCUUCGAUCCUUAUGUCCUCGUGCUGAAACCCCAACUAGCCUAGUUGAUGGGAAAUCUUUAGAUGAGCAUGCUCAUUUUGUGCGUCAUCGUUUAUCUGAAAAAGGGAGACUCUUACGGUAUGAUAUAAAUAGUUUGCUAUGCUAUGCUUGGAAUCUUUGUGAAAUGUGUGAUUUUAGUUGUUGCUCUAAGAACCCUAAAAAACACCUUCCCUACCUAUGUGAGUUCAAUGAUAAUGAAAUCUUAUCUUCUUAUGCAAAGGGUGUUUAUAGUUACUAUGAUAUCGAACAAAUUGAAGAAUUUGUCGUUUUUAAGGGUGCUCAUGAAGUUGCUUCUUUGAUUGAAAAGUAUGAUUUUACUCUCAACAAAUCUGAAAAUUCCAUCAUACUUAAAUAUUGCAAUGAAAACCUUGCUCAUAAUGUCUAUGUCCAAGAAUUUAAAAAUGAUCAUUGCUUUGGAAGACAAUAAUGAUAUGCAUGAUUCUAUAGAUAAUGAUGAUUCGGAUGAUUUGAUUGAAAUAUCCCUUGAUGAACAUGAUGCUUUCUAUUCUUGUGGCCAUGAAGCCAAUAUUUAUGAAGACGAAUUUGCUAUAGUUCCUUAUGUUAAAAAUGAGAUCGUUGCUAUUGCACCCAUGCUUGAUAGCUCCCUCAACGAAAAGCAUGAUUUAAAUGAUUUUACUAUAAAUUCUCUUGAUGUCAAUUGUGCUAAUAAUAUGCAAAACCCUAAGAUUGGGGAUGCUAGUUUUGCUAUGUCUACUACUUGUUGCAAUGAUCAUGAAUGGGGUGAUUCUUCUUAUGAUCUUGAAAAUUUAUUUAAUCCCCAUGAUGAAUAUGAGAUUGAUAAUAUUGUUUGCAAUAAUAUUGAAAGUGGGUUUGGAAGAGUGUCAACUCUAGAUCCCACAUAUUUGGAGAAUAUUCAAUCUUAUGAAAUUUUUGAUAAAAGUGGGUUUGGAGAGGUCAUGACAUUAGUUAAUGUUAAUCCCACUAUUUUGGAAGAGUGUCAACUUUGCAUGCAUGUGGAUCGUGUUGAAAAUAUUUUAUGUGAUAGAUAUUUUGUUGAAUUUGCUUAUGAUACCACAUGUAAUUAUUAUGAGAGAGGAAAAUAUGGUCGUAGAAAUUUUCAUGAUAAUAAAUUACCUCUCGUUAUGUUGAGAUUGCUAUUGUUUCUUUCCGCCUCCUUGCAUAUGCUAGUUUUUGUUUGCCUUGAUAAUUUGUUUGCCUAUAAGAUGCCUAUGCAUAGGAAGUAUGUUAGACUUAGAUGUGUUUAUCACGUGUUUUAUGAUGCUCUCUUUGUGCUUCAAUUCUUGUCUUUAUUGUGAGCAUCAUUAAAAUAUCAAUGCCUAGCUAGGGGCAUUAAACGAUAGCGCUUGUUGGGAGGCAACCCAAUUUUAUUUUGUGUUUUUUGUUUUUGCUUCUGUUUAGGAAAAAAUAAUGCAUCUAGCCUCUGUUUGUAUGUGGUUUUAUCUUUUAAUUAGUGUUUGUGCCAAGUAGAACCUAUAGGAUAACCUACGAUGAUAGUUGAUUUGAUUCUGCUGAAAAACAGAAACUUUGCACGCACGAAUAUAGUUAUGUUAAAUCACAGGAACGUGCUUUUGCGUUGAUUAUUUUGGCUGCUGUUCAAUUAACAAAUUGUCCAGGACUUCCUAUUUUGGUAGAAUUGUUAGAGUUCCAGAAGUUUGCGUUAGUUACAGAUUGCUACAGACUGUUCUGUUUUUGACAGAUUCUGUUUUACGUGUGUUGUUUGCUUAUUUUGAUGAAUCUAUGGCUAAUAAAAUAGUUUAUAAUCCAUAGAGAAGUUGGAAUACAGUAGGUUUAACACCAAUAUAAAUAAAUAAUGAGUUCAUUAUAGUACCUUUAAGUAGUCUUUUUUUUUCUUUCUCUAACGGAGCUCACGAGAUUUCUGUUGAGUUUUGUGUUGUGAAGUUUUCAAGUUUUGGGUGAAUUCUUUUGAUGGAUUAUGGAACAAGGAGUGGCAAGAGCCUAAGCUUGGGGAUGCCCAUGGCACCCCCAAGAUAAUCCAAGGGCACCAAAAAGUCAAAGCUUGGGGAUGCCCCGGAAGGCAUCCCCUCUUUCGUCCACUUCCAUCGGUAAUUUACUUGGAGCUAUAUUUUUGUUCACCACAUGAUAUGUGUUUUGCUUGGAGCGUCUUGUAUUAUUUGCGUCUUUGCUUGUUAGUCUACCACAAUCAUCCUUGCUGUACACACCUAUGGAGAGAGCCAUAUAUGAAUUGUAAUUUGUUAGAAUACUCUAUGUGCUUCACUUAUAUCUUUUGAGCUCGAUAGUUUUGCUCAUAGUGCUUCACUUAUAUCUUUUGAGCGUGAUAAUUUUUUGCUCUAGUGCUUCACUUAUAUCUUUUAGAGCACGGUGGUGGAUUUGUUUUAAAGAAACUAUUGAUAUCUCAUGCUUCACUUAGAUUAUUUUGAGAGUCGUUAAUAGCAUGGUAAUUCGCUUAAUGUUAAUAUACUUGGUGUUCAAGAUAUGUGAAACUUUCUUUUGAGUGAAUUGAAUACUAAGAUAAGUUUGAUGCUUGAUAAUUGUUUUGAGAUAUGGAGGUGAUAAUAUCAAAGUCGUUCUAGUUGGGUAAUUAUGAAUUUGAGAAAUACUUGUGUCGAAUUUUGCAAGUCCCGUAGCAUGCACGUAUGGUUAAAGUUGUGUAACAAAUUUGAACAUGAAGUGUACCUGGCUUGUGCAUCCUUAUGAGUGCGGUCGGGGACGAGCGAUGGUCUUUUCCUACCAAUCUAUCCCCCUAGGAUCAUGCGCGUAGUACUUGAUUUUUGACGACUUCUAAAUUUUUGCAAUAAGUAUAUGAGUUCUUCUGACUAAUGUUGAGUCCAUGUGUUAUACGCACUCUCACCUUUCCGCCUUUGCUAGCCUCUUCGGUACCGUGCAUUGCCCUUUAUCACCUUGAGAGUUGGUGCAAACUUCGCUGGUGCAUCCAAACCCCGUGAUACGAUAUGCUCUAUCACACAUAAACCUCCUUAUAUCUUCCUCAAAACAGCCACCAUACCUACCUAUUAUGGCAUUUCCAUAGCCAUUCCGAGAUAUAUUGCCAUGCAACUUCCACCAUCAUCAUCAUGACAUACAUUACUUUUAUCAUAUUGCCAUUGCAUGAUCAUGUAGUUGACAUCGUAUUUGUGGCAAGGCCACCAUGCAUUAUUUUCCAUACAUGUCACUCUUGAUUCAUUGCACCAUCAUGGUACACCGCCAGAGGCAUUCAUAUAGAGUCAUAUCUUGUUCUAAGUUUCGAGUUGUAAUCCUUAUGUUGUAAUCAAUAGAAGUGUGAUGAUCAUCAUUAUUAGAGCAUUGCCUAAAAAAAAGAAAGUCCAAAAUAAAAAAAGGAAAGGCCCAAAAAAAGGGCAAUGCUACUAUCUCUUUUUUUCCACAUGUGUGCUUCAAAGUAGCACCUUGUUCUUCAUGUAGUGACUCUCAUAUAUUGUGCUUCAAAGUAGCACCUUGUUCUUCAUGUAGUGAGUCUCAUAUAUUAUGCUUCAAAGUAGCACCUUGUUCUUCAUGUAGUGAGUCUCAUAAGUUGUAUUUUUAUACUAGUGGGAAUUUUUAAUUAUAGAACUUGGCUUGUAUAUUCCUACGAUGGGCUUCCUCAAAUGCCCUAGGUCUUCAUGAGCAAGCAAGUUGGAUGCACACCCACUAGUUUUCUUUUGUUGAGCAUUCAUAGCUCUAGUGCAUCCGUUGCAUGGCAAUCUCUACUCCUCAUGUUGACAUCAAUUGAUGGGCAUCUCCAUAGCCCGUUGAUUAGCCUGGUCAAUGUGAGACUUUCUCCUUUUUUUGUCUUCUCCACACAAUCCCCAUCAUCAUAUUCUAUUCCACCCAUAGUGCUAUAUCCAUGGCUCAUGCUCAUGUAUUACGUGAAGGUUGAAAAAGUUUGAGGUUAUUUAAGUAUGAAACAAUUGCUUGGCUUGUCAUCGGGGCUAUAGAAGUUGGGAACAUCUUUGUGUGACGAAAACGAAGCAUACCCUAACUAUAUGAUUUUGUAGGGAUGAACUUUCUUUUGCCAUGUUAUUUUGAGAAGACAUGAUUGCUUUGAUUAGUAUGCUUGAAGUAUUAUUAUUUUUCUGUCAAUAUGAACUUUUGUCUUGAAUCUUUCGGAUCUGAAUAUUCAUAUCACAAUUAAGAAGUUUUACAUUGAAAUUAUGCCAAAGUAUCACUCCGCAUCAAAAAUUCUUUUUUAUCAUUUACCUACUCGAGGACGAGCAGGAAUUAAGCUUGGGGAUGCCUGAUACGUCUCCAACGUAUCUAUAAUUUUUGAUUGCUCCAUCCUACUCUAUCUACUAUUUUGGACUAUAUUGGGCUUUAUUUUCCACUUUUAUAUUAUUUUUGGGACUAACCUAUUAACCGAAGGCCCAGCCCAGAAUUGCUGUUUUUUUUUGCCUUUUUCAGUGUUUCGAAGAAACAAAAUAUCAAACGGAGUCCAAACGGAAUGAAACCUUCAGGAACGUGAUUUUCUCAUCAGAUAAGACCCAGGAGACUUGGACCCUCCGUCAAGAAAGCCACGAGGCGGUCACGAGGGUGGAGGGCGCGCCUCCCUGGGCGCCCCCCUACCUCAUGGGCCCCUCAAAGCUCCACCGAUGUACUCCUUCCUCCUAUAUAUACCUACGUAUCCCCAAACGAUCAGAACAGGAGCCCAAAACCUAAUUCCACCGCCGCAACCUUCUGUAUCCACGAGAUCCCAUCUUAGGCCCUGUUUCGGAGCUCUGCCGGAAGGGGCAUCCACCAUGGAGGGCUUCUACAUCAACACCAUAGCCCCUCCGAUGAAGUGUGAGUAGCUUACUUCAGACCUUCGGGUCCAUAGCUAGUAGCUAGAUGGCUUCUUCUCUCUUUUUGGAUCUCAAUACAAUGUUCUCCCCCUCUCUCGUGGAGAUCUAUUCGAUGCAAUCUUCUUUUUUUGCGGUGUGUUUGUUGAGACCGAUGAAUUGUCGGUUUAUGAUCCAGUAUUAUCUAUGGAAAAUAUUUGAUUCUUCUCUAAAUUCUUUUAUGUAUGAUUGAGUUAUCUUUGCAAGUCUCUUCGAAUUAUCCUUUUUGGUUUGGCCAACUAGAUUGGUAGUUCUUGCAAUGGGAGAAGUGCUUAGCUUUGGUUUCAAUCUUGCGGUGUUCUUUCCCAGUGUUAGAAGGGGCAGCAAGGCACGUAUUGUAUUGUUACCAUCGAGGAUAACAAGAUGGGGUUUUUAUCAUAUUGCAUGAAUUUAUCCCUCUACAUCAUGUCACCUUGCUUAAGGCGUUACUCUGUUUUUAACUUAAUACUCUAGAUGCAUGCUGGAUAGCGGUCGAUGAGUGGAGUAAUAGUAGUAGAUGCAGAAUCGUUUCGAUCUACUUGUCUUGGAUGUGAUGCCUAUAUACAUGAUCAUUGCCUAGAUGUACUCAUAACGAUGCUCAAUUCUGUCAAUUGCUCAACAGUAAUUUGUUCACCCACCAUAGAAUACUUAUGCUCUUGAGAGAAGCCACUAGUUAAACCUAUGGGCCCCGGUUCUAUUCUCAUCAUAUCAAUCUCUAUCACUUUAUUUACUUGCUUUGCUUUUUUACUUUGCCUUUUACUUUUCAGUUUGCAUCUAUCUAUCAAAAAUACCAAAAAAAUUAUUUAUCAUCUUUAUCAGAUCUCACCCUCGUAAGUGAUCGUGAAUGGAUUGACAACCCCUAAUCUCAUUGGUUGCGAGUAGCUAUCGUCUUGGGUAGGUACGAGGGACUUGUGUGUGGUCUCCUACUGGAUUGAUACCUUGGUUCUCAAAAACUGAGGGAAAUACUUACGCUACUUUGCUGCAUCAUCCUCUCCUCUUCGGGGAAAUCCAACGCAGUGCUCAAGAGGUAGCAGAUAGUGAAAGAACAUGCGAUGCCCCCAUUUUUGGUUUUGGUAAUUGAUGACAAUCUCUAUGGAAUAAUGGUUGCCUUGAGUUAUAUUUGAAGGUUUUGUCCAUAGGCUUUUCUUGAAGUCCAUGUGUUGGUUUCAAGGAGUUUAUGAGUUGACCAAGGCGCUAUUUAGGAAUUAUCCAAACAUUGGUCAUGUGAGUGUUGAGCUUAUUGCAAGCAUGUCUUGAAGAAGAAGAUUAUGUGAUCAUUCAUGUUUACCUUCAAGACAUCAUCCAAAUGAAGAGAGUUGGAAAGAUUCAAGGUUGAUCUAGCCUAAGUACAGAGAGUGAUUCAAGUUGAUCAACACACAAAGCGCACAAGUUGUACCGAGAGGGACCAAGUGUUCCCAUGGUAUGGUAAGCAUUGUCCAUUACGCUUUGUGUACUAACCCAUGGUCUAUACGUGAGAGUUCUUUGUGGGGUUAGGUAUGUUUCCAUGGUCUUGCGUCAAGAGGAAGAUCCCAUACAACCCAUGGAGGAUGACAUCAAGUGGUGAUCGUCAUCAAGUUUGCUGUGUGCAAGUUCAAGUGGAGCAACACGAAGAGUGGCUCACCCAUAAUGGAGUAUGGGGGAGCAAUCAAGUUUGAAUCUUGCCAUCCAUUGUGGUGUCAAUGGACUUGUGAAGAUGUGCCGAAGAGUCGCUCACCCAUAGUGGACUAUGGGGGAGCAAUCAUCUAGUCUUCAUCGAGCCAACGCAAUCAAGAAAGGUGGUCCAACUUGAGCGAGUCAAGAUCGUCUUCAUCUAGCUCAAGUGGACCAUGUGCAAGGCAAAGGUUUGCCCUUGAUAGGUUUUCUAUUUUACCGGUCUCGUGGUGGUAGUUGGGAGACCGGGUUAUAGGAUCGUUUGCCGUACUAUCAAGGGGGGCUCUCAAGUUGGUAGCUUGAUCGUAUAGUUAGUAGAGAGCUCAAACCAUUGCAUCCUUGCAUCAUGUUUCUUUGUUCUUGUUUGGUUCUCUUUGUGAGUCUUAGAGCUUAUGGUCAUCUUGAUGACAAGCUUGAGUUCAUCGAAAACGGAGUUCGCAUGCGUCUUCUAUGAUGUUUUCGGUGUUGGAGGUUUUACCGGUCUUAUCCAAGGAAGGGUUCUCACCAUUUUCUUAUGGGCCUUUUCUCAUUUGCUUCUUAUUGAUAUUUGUAUCAAGAUUGUGUUAGCCCUUGUUGCUAGCUUUCCAACAAACUUGGUUUCAUCGAAUUCGGAGCUCGUAUGCGAAAGUUGUGGCUGUUUUGAUAUUGCCUGUUUUACAUAGAGAGGUUGUACCGCCCCGUAGAGAGGUUGUACCGGUUGACCGGUACAACCGGUGUUUGGAGCGGUUGUACCGCUCCAGAAUUGGUACGGAGGUUGUACCGGCCAUGUACCGCUCUACCAACGGACUAGUUUCUGUUUUGGAGCGGUUCUUGGGCGGUUGUUGACCGGUUUAACCGGUACUACCGGUUCCCCAGGCUGUUGUACCGCUUAGAGCUUUUCCCAGGUUGGUUUUUCCUCUGCUUUGGCCGGUUGUACCGGUUCGUGCACCGGUUGUACCGGUCCUACAGUUUUCUGCACAUAACGAGCAGAUUCGUGGGGACCUAUUUAAGGGGGUCUUCUUCCCUAAUGGUUCCCCAUCUCUUGAGCUCGUUUUUGCCCCCAUUGUUGACCUUCUUUGAGCUUGCUAACUCUCAAUCCCUCCAUGGAUUCUUGCUAGUUUUUGAGGGAAAAGAGAGAGGAGAUCUAGAUCCACACUUCCACCAAUCACUUUCUCCUCUAUGUGAGGGGAACCUCUUGGAUCUAGAUCUUCGAGUUCUUCGUGUUCUUCUUUCGUUCUUCCUCUCAUUUUCCUCCCUAGCAUUAGUUGCUUUGGUGGGAUUUGGGAGAGAAGAACUUGGGCACUCCGUGUGCCCUUGACAUUGCAUUUGGUGCAUCGGUUUGAGUUCUCCACGUGAUACGUGGAAGUUACAAGUUGAGAAGCUUAUUACUCUUGGGUGCUUGGUGCCCUUGAGCUUGUUCAUCUUGGGUGCUUGGGCGCCCUAGACCGUUGGUGGUGUUCGGAGCUCAAUCAUUGUGGUGUAAAGCUCUGGGCAAGCGUCAGGGUCUCCAAUUAGGUUGUGGAGAUCGCCCCGAGCAAUUUGAUGGGUACCGGUGACCGCCCCCAAGGGUUGCCAAAGUGUACGGGUUCGGUGACCGCCCCAAGGGUUGCCAUUUGUACGGGUUCGGUGACCGCCCUCAAGGGUCCCUUAGUGGAAUCAUGACAUCUUGCAUUGUGCGAGGGCGUGAGGAGAUUACGGUGGCCCUAGUGGCUUCUUGGGGAGCAUUGUGCCUCCACACCGCUCCAAACGGAGAUUAGCAUCCGCAAGGGUGUGAACUUCGGGAUACAUCGUCGUCUCCGCGUGCCUCGGUUAUCUCUUACCCGAGCCCUUUACCUAUGCACUUUACUUUGAGAUAGCCAUAUUGUUCUUUGUCAUAUAUCUUGCUAUCACAUAGUUGCUUAUAUUGCUUAGCAUAAGUUGUUGGUGCACAUAGGUGAGCCUAGUUGUUUUAGGUUUUGUGCUUGACAAAUUAACCGCUAGGUUUAUUCUGCAUUUGUUCAAUCCUAAACUGUAAUUAUUUUAAAACGCCUAUUCACCCCCCCUCUAGGCGACAUCCACGAUCUUUCAAUUGGUAUCAGAGCCUCGUCUCUCUUUGUUAGGCUUAACCGCCUAGAGAGUAAAGAUGUCAACUAGGGGAUUAGGAUUCUCUGACACUCUUAGUUUCGAUGGCACAAAUUUUGAUGUUUGGGUAAUUCGCAUGCUUAAUCUCUUUAGGGCCAUGAACCCAAAUUUAGAGCGAAUUGUAGAUAUGGGUUUUUCUCCUCCAAAGGAUCCCCAAAGAUUAUCUUUAGAGGAUGAGAAAAACUCUUAUCUCAAUGCUCAAGCUUCUAAUGUGCUUUUCGAUGCUUUGAGAAAUUUAGUCAUAUUUCAACUCAUGCCGUUCCGGGAUGCUCAUGAGUUGUGGACAAAGCUUCAAGAUAAAUAUGGCGUGUCCAAGAUUUGUGAGGAUGAUUGUUCUCCCUCCACCUCCGGUCGUAUAGUCUUCUCAACUUCUUCUACUUCACCUACAUGUGGUUUGCCACAAGGUAAUGAUAUGGUGAGUAGUGUUGGUCACUGGAAUGAUGAUAGUAUGCUUAUUGUGGAUGAUCCUUCAUCACUAUAUUAUUGCAAUGCUCCUUCUUUGGGCUUUAACACUUCGAGCACUCCAAAUGUUUCACAUGCUUGUGUUGAUAGUCCUUGCAUAUCAUGUAGAAAUUGCUUGACUAAAUCUCAUGAUGAUAUGCUUGCUAUGUCUUAUUGCCAUGAUAAAAAUGCAUCUAUUUCCUCGAAUUGUUGUGCUACGAAUGUAGAGGAAACCAAACAUUCCAUGGAACAAGAUCUGGUGUUUAAUGGUGCCUCAAGGGAUCCUACAUCAUCAUCUAUUGCUUUUUGCCUUAUGGCUAAGGCGUCAAAGGUAUCUCCUACUUUGUACCCCAAUAUGUCUCUUGAUGAUGAUGUUGAUGCUAAUAAUGAUGAGGAUAAUGAUGAACAGAAUGAUAAUGUUGCCUCCUUAAAAACUAAGGGGGAAAUGAUUUUUAAAGCUCUUCAUAAAAAUAAAAUUGCUCGUUCCAACUUCAUGGAAAUAAUGUCCAUUGCCAUUGAUGGCAAGAAAUACAUUGAGGAGUUGGAAUCUCUUCUAGAGGAGCAUGAGGUCACCAUUGAGAAAAUGGAAGCUCAUGGGCGUGAUUACGCAAAUGAGAUCACGGAGCUAUCUCAAGCUCUUGAACAUGAACAAACCACCUCUGAAUCUCUUGAAGAGACUUUUGCUCUAGAAUUAGCUAGAGUGAGGGAAUCUCAUGAUAGAGCUCUUGAGGUGGCCAACGAUUUCAAAUCUAAAAAUGCUAAGCUUGAAGUCUCUCAUGCUAGACUCCUUGAAGAUUUUGAGCACCUCGAAAAUGGCUCAAGGGUCAUCAAGGGUGAGCUCAUCAAACGCACCGAGUCUCAUGCCCAACUUGAAGCUUCUUAUUUAACAGAGCUUGCCAAGUUUCCUUCUCCUCUUGUUGUUAAUGAUGAUGCUUGUGCUACUAAUUCUAUUACUUGUGAAGCAUCCAUUUUGAAGGAGAAUGUUGAGCUACGGGCUCAACUUGAGGUGCUAUCUAGCAAUUAUGGGAAAUUGGAAGAAAGUCAUGAAAAGCUCUCAAGCUCUCAUGAUGAUCUUCUAGUAUCCCAUAGUGUGCUAAAGAUAGCUCAUGAGGCCAUGAUUGUUAAGGUAACAUCUAGUGAGCCUUAUGUGGGUACUAGCACUACUUCUAGUCAAAAUAGUAUAUUGCCAUGUGCUAGUCCUUGUAAUUCAUCUACUCACAAUGUUGGUACAUCUUGUGAUGAAUUACUCUCCUUGCCUUGUUGCUCUAACGAUGAAGCUUAUACUUCCUCUAGUACUUGUGUUGAGACUAACCGUGUAGAGGAAAUCAAAGAGCUCAAGGCCCAAGUCACUUCUUUGAAGAAAGACUUGGAAAAGUGUCAUGAAGGGAAAUCCACACUCAACAAUAUCUUGAGUGUGCAAAAAUCCCCCAAUGACAAAGGUGGACUAGGAUUCAACUCCAAUAAGAAGAAGAAGUCCAAGAUGAACAAAAAGAAGGGCCAAGAACAAGUCAAGAAUUCGGCCAAGAUUGUUUGCUUCAAGUGCAAAGUAGAAGGGCAUCAUGUUAGAUCUUGCCCAUUGAAGAAGAAGGCCAUUAGUGUCAAGCAACAAGGGAAGAGGGCACAAGUUCAAUCACAUGCUCAACCUUAAGUUGAAGAAAGGCCUCUUCCCAAGAAGACUCAAGUUAAUGCUUCUCAAGUUGAGAAAUCAAGUGAGAAGAAAGUGAAGAGUAGACGUUGCUACCUAUGCCGUGAGAAAGGUCACCUCGCUUCUUCAUGCACUAGUGGUAACUUAUCCAACCCAAUUAUUAUUGAUGACGUCUAUUCUCUUAGGAAGGAUAAGGUUGGCAAUGUGGUUGCCAAGUUUGUUGGUACUCAAAGUGGUUUGAAGCAAAGAACCAUUUGGGUAGCCAAGCUUAUUGUGACUAACCUCUUAGGACCCAACUUGGUCGGGGACCAACUAGCUCAAACUUGAUCAAUAGGUGUUGUUGGAGGGCAUUGGAGACUUGGCUACUUUAUGAAGAAUUAAGGGGACUUCAUCACUCUUAUUGUCUCAAGCCAAGUCAAUUGAAUCAUCAAGUUUACAUCUUAUAUCCAAUGUGCCUCCUUGCGAUAACUUGUACUUAAAAUUGCUUACAUUGAAAGUUACUUGCUCCCUUACAUGUUUUGGUUUUGUUCCUUGCAUGUGUUGGUAUAUGUUGUGAUUCCAACUUGCUUAUCUUGAGCAAUCAAGUAUGCGGGUGUUGGUUUGCACACCAUGUAUGUGUGUGUCGUGCGUUGAGCCUUUAUGCUUCUUGUUUGUUUCCUAGUUGGCUCGUGUGAGAGAUUAAUGGAACAUCCCAUUUUGGGGGAGUGAUGUUCUUUGUGCACCUCACAAUCCUAUAAAUGUGUGUACAUGAGGAAUACCAUCUAGUAUUGAUAUUUCAAGAUUAUCUAGUCGCUAGGUGGUAUAUCUCUCAUGAGAAAUUCAAAUUCUAGAUAGUCCAUUAAUUAUCUCUUGUUUGUUCCUCUUAUUGCCUCUUGUUAAGUUCUUAUUGGUAUCACAUUAUGGGGUAGUAAUAUGCUAAGUCCAUAUUACAAGCCUAGAAAAUGUGUACAUUUGAGAUAUUAUCACCUAGAAUUGAUAUUGUAGAUUAUCUUGUUCCUAGGUGGCAUGUUAGCUCUACAGGUUGCAAUUUGCUUGUGUUUGUUGUGAAGAUGAUGUUGGACAUCAUUGCUAUCUACCACCGGGAAUUAUUUCCAAAUACUUCUUGUCUUUUGACAAUUGGUAGUCACUUAUGUGUGGUAGAAUUUGUUGAUCAUCUUUACUUUGGCUUUUGUUUUUCCUUUUCUCUUGCCAAGGUUUGUGUCAACUCCCGGUGUCUUACCUACCACUUGUGGAUCUUGUUUAUUUCUUGUUCUUGUCUAGUGUUUUCUAGAUAUAGUGAAAGUAGUGAUCCCACCUUGUGCAUUUUGUAUUCAAAUGCAAAUCCUAUAUAAUGCACAACUCGUGGGGGAGCUAUCCUAUUUUCUUUAGAACACUCUUCUUGUGAUCCUUAUCGAGUGUGUUUUGGUGGAAGGCAAGCCAUUUCUUUUUGGUAUUCUGUGCCAUCAUGAAACUUUGUUGAGAGCUUGGUUUGUUUGGAACCAUCCUCUCUUUGGGAGUUUGACAUCUUUAGUUUAGUGUGCAUCAAUGGAUAUCUCAUUCCUUGAUGUAUCUUUAAUGAUAUCUUCCAAGUGAUCAUUUCUCCAUUUGGUAUCCUUUUCACUUGGCAUUUCUUUCUCUUUAGGUUUCGGGUUUUGAAAGUCUUGAGCAUGCAUGUUUACUUCAUGUAUUUUAUUUGGCAUGCUUUCUUUCUUUGACUCAAUAUAUAGGGGAUCUCCACCAAGUCUCAAAUCGGAUGAGAUGUGUAUGAAAUUCAUUUACAUAUCUAUAUGCACAUAUUUAUGUGGAGUUUGUCCUAUGUAUUGGUUUUUCUAACUAUUUGGUCCCAAUGAGUUUGGGUAUCGUUUAGUUUGUGUUGUUCUUCUAGGAACAUUUGGAGAUGCACUGGAUGCUCGGCUCACUCACAAGGAAGGUGUUGUCACCAUGUGCAUAUUGGAGUCAAGCUAGGAUGAUCAAUGAACUACUAUCUACCUUCAAUUGGUAUCUACUACAUCCUUCCAAUGAUAUCUCGAUAACAAGUAUAUAUUCAUGCUUUCUCCUCUUGCAUUCAACCUUGUGUAGGUUGCAUCUUGGCAUGAUAUUCAUUUCAUAUCUUGUGAUACUUGUUUCCUUUCUCAAAGCAUCCCAACGAUGAUCUCUUGUUGCUAGUUGUGAUGCCUUUGAUGGAUGUGUGUUUGGACUUCAUUUAUAUACAAUGAGACCAUAUCUAGCCAAGUGCUAUGCUUUCAAGCAAAUAUCUUAUUGGUAUAUUUAUGACUUCCUUUUGGUUAUCUCAUUCCUUCUUGUUGUAACUAUUUCGGGUGUACAUCCUUCUUUGUAGAUAUAUAUCAUCAUGAUUUCGUCUACCUAGAACAUUAUACACUUGAGAGAAAUUACAUCUCUAGUUGAUAUCCUUUCUUUCAUGUCCACCUUGUCUUUCUUAUGUUAUUUCUUUGGUGGCUCCGUGAAAGCUUUUGCCUUGAGUGCGUGUCGUAUCUCAUUGCAUCUUGAUGCACUCUUGUGUGGUGAAGAUUAUUUUCCUCUUGCUUAUCUUUACGAGGCUUUUACCAUCUUAAUUGGUAUCCCUCGUCUUGAUGAGCCUCCCCUCGUCUAUCUUCACCACGGGUUGUCACAAGCAUAGGUUCUCUUUUGCUUAUUAGCAAGCUUGUGAACCCGUUUGCCAAUUGUGUGUGGGAAUGAUAGGCCUUGCACCGUGUGCCUCAUUCUUUCAAGACUAUGUUGAUGCUUAAUGCUCAUCCUAAUUUUAGUCUUCUCAAGUGCUUCGCCAGGACUCACACACAUCAUUUUGGUUGAGCCUAUUCUUAAGUUGCCUCUUUUACAUGUUGCUCAACCAUGUGCUUAUUGCAAGCGCUAGGCUUUGUUUCCUAUAUGCUCACCUGCACUAGAUGUGUGUUUCUAUUGAUUUUGGGCGAGCUAUGAUCCUAUUUUGUGCACUUUGUAUCCAAAUACAAAAAUUCUUGAUGUGCACAAAUCAUGGGGAGCUUCUCUAGUUUCUUUGGAACACUGCUCCGCUCUUAUCAUAAUAUCCUUUAUUCAUGUGGCUCGUAGGAUCAUUGGCCUAGUUGGUUCAAUUGGUAUCUUAUGAUAGCUUGCUUCAAUUGGUAUCUUUUGAUUGCUUGAUUGCGUGUUUCUCUCUUUGAUUAUGUCUUUGUGGCAUAUCUUCCUUUUGCAAUCUUUGGGCCUCAAUAUAGUUUGUCUUCCUCCAAGUAUUUACCGUUGGAUAUGUGUAUUGCAUUCCACUCUCUUGUUGAGAAAUACACAAUUUAUGGAGGAACACAUUUUAUAUUGGCCUUCUAAGCUUUUAGCCCAUUUUGGCAAUCGAUGCCAAUGGGGGAGAAGUUUCAGAGAGUUGUGUGGAGAAGUUUAGAGAGUUGUCUCCUCUUGCUUUGGUUUUGUUCCUUAGCAUUUGCAUCUCAUUUGCAUGCACUAUUGGUUGUUUUAUUGCAUGGUGAUGCAUAAUUCCUUAUAUAAACUCUCUUGAAAGUGAUUGUCAUCAAUUACCAAAAUGGGGGAGAUUGAAAGAACAUGCGAUGCCCCCAUGUUUGGUUUUGGUAAUUGAUGACAAUCUCUAUGGACUAAUGGUUGCCUUGAGUUAUAUUUGAAGGUUUUGUCCAUAGGCUUUUCUUGAAGUCCAUGUGUUGGUUUCAAGGAGUUUAUGAGUUGAUCAAGGUGCUAUUAAGGAAUUAUCCAAAGAUUGGUCAUGUGAGUGUUGAGCUUAUUGCAAGCAUGUCUUGAAGAAGAAGAUUAUGUGAUCAUUCAUGUUUACCUUCAAGACAUCAUCCAAAUGAAGAGAGUUGGAAAGAUUCAAGGUUGAUCUAGCCUAAGUACAAAGAGUGAUUCAAGUUGAUCAACACACAAAGCGCACAGGUUGUACCGAGAGGGACCAAGUGUUCCCAUGGUAUGGUAAGCAUUGUCCAUUACGCUUUGUGUACUAACCCAUGGUCUAUGUGAGAGUUCUUUGUGGGGUUAGGUAUGUUUCCAUGGUCUUGCGUCAAGAGGAAGAUCCCAUACAACCCAUGGAGGAUGACAUCAAGUGGUGAUCGUCAUCAAGUUUGUUGUGUGCAAGUUCAAGUGGAGCAACACGAAGAGUGGCUCACCCAUAAUGGAGUAUGGGGGAGCAAUCAAGUUUGAAUCUUGCCAUCCAUUGUGGUGUCAAUGGACUUGUGAAGAUGUGCCGAAGAGUCGCUCACCCAUAGUGGACUAUGGGGGAGCAAUCAUCUAGUCUUCAUCGAGCCAACGCAAUCAAGAAAGGUGGCCCAACUUGAGGGAGUCAAGAUCGUCUUCAUCUAGCUCAAGUGGACCAUGUGCAAGGCAAAGGUUUGCCCUUGAUAGGUUUUCUAUUUUACCGGUCUCGUGGUGGUAGUUGGGAGACCGGGUUAUAGGAUCGUUUGCCGUACUAUCAAGGGGGGCUAUCAAGUUUGUAGCUUGAUCGUAUCGUUAGUAGAGAGCUCAAACCCUUGCAUCCUUGCAUCAUGUUUCUUUGUUCUUGUUUGGUUCUCUUUGUGAGUCUUAGAGCUUAUGGUCAUCUUGAUGACAAGCUUGAGUUCAUCGUAAACGGAGUUCGCAUGCGUCUUCUAUGAUGUUUUCAGUGUUGGAGGUUUUACCGGUCUUAUCCAAGGAAGGGUUCUCACCAUUUUCUUAUGGGCCUUUUCUCAUUUGCUUCUUAUUGAUAUUUCUAUCAAGAUUGUGUUAGCCCUUGUUUCUAGCUUUCCAACAAACUUGGUUUCAUCGAAUUCGGAGCUCGUAUGCGAAAGUUGUGGCUGUUUUGAUAUUGCCUGUUUUACAUAGAGAGGUUGUACCGCCCCGUAGAGAGGUUGCACCGGUUGACCGGUACAACCGGUGUUUGGAGAGGUUGUACCGCUCCAGAAUUGGUCCGGAGGUUGUACCGGCCAUGUACCGCUCUACCACGGGACUAGUUUCUGUUUUGGAGCGGUUCUUGGGCGGUUGUUGACCGGUUUAACCGGUACUACCGGUUCCCCAGGCUGUUGUACCGCUCAGAGCUUUUCCCAGGUUGGUUUUUCCUCUGCUUUGGCCGGUUGUACCGGUUCAUGCACCGGUUGUACCGGUCCUACAGUUUUCUGCACAUAACAGGCAGAUUCGUGGGGACCUAUUUAAGGGGGUCUUCUUCCCCAAUGGUUCCCCAUCUCUUGAGCUCGUUUUUGCCCCCAUUGUUGACCUUCUUUGAGCUUGCUAACUCUCAAUCCCACCAUGGAUUCUUGCUAGUUUUUGAGGGAAAAGAGAGAGGAUAUCUAGAUCCACACUUCCAGCAAUCACUUUCUCCUCCAUGUGAGGGGAACCCCUUGGAUCUAGAUCUUGGAGUUCUUCGUGUUCUUCUUUCGUUCUUCCUCUCAUUUUCCUCCCUAGCAUUAGUUGCUUUGGUGGGAUUUGGGAGAGAAGAACUUGGGCACUCUGUCUGCCCUUGCCAUUGCAUUUGGUGCAUUGGUUUGAGUUCUCCACGUGAUACGUGGAAGUUACAAGUUGAGAAGCUUAUUACUCUUGGGUGAUUGGUUCCCUUGAGCUUGUUCAUCUUGGGUGCUUGGGCGCCCUAGACGGUUGGUGGUGUUCAGAGCUCAAUCAUUGUGGUGUAAAGCUCCGGGCAAGCGUCGAGGUCUCCAAUUAGGUUGUGGAGAUCGCCCCGAGCAAUUUGACGGGUACCGGUGACCGCCCCCAAGGGUUGCCAAAGUGUACGGGUUCGGUGACCGCCCCCAAGGGUUGCCAUUUGUACGGGUUCGGUGACCGCCCUCAAGGGUCCCUUAGUGGAAUCACGACAUCUUGCAUUGUGCGAGGGCGUGAGGAGAUUAUGGUGGCCCUAGUGGCUUCUUGGGGAGCAUUGUGCCUCCACACCGCUCCAAACGGAGAUUAGCAUCCGCAAGGGUGCGAACUUCGGGAUACAUCAUCGUCUUCGCGUGCCUCGGUUAUCUCUUACCCGAGCCCUUUACUUAUGCACUUUACUUUGUGAUAGCCAUAUUGUUCUUUGUCAUAUAUCUUGCUAUCACAUAGUUGCUUAUAUUGCUUAGCAUAAGUUGUUGGUGCACAUAGGUGAGCCUAGUUGUUUUAGGUUUUGUGCUUGACAAAUUAACCGCUAGGUUUAUUCCGCAUUUGUUCAAGCCUAAACCGUAAUUAUUUUAAAACGCCUAUUCACCCGCCCCCCCUCUAGGCGACAUCCACGAUCUUUCAGAUAGCAGACCCCGAGCUUGGACCGGCUGCCCCCGGGUCCGGGUCGGGAAGGGGCGCUGCAGGGUUGUCCUAGAUGAAGAUGGACUUGGAAUCCGGAGACGGCUUGACAGACGGCUUGCACAUGUGCUCGAGGGAGACACUUGACGGUAUGGCCUGCCGGGAUGAGCCAAUCUUGGCUAGCAUGUCGGCAGCUUCUUUUUCUGCGCGAGGGACAUGGAGCUAGACCAGGAAAUGGUAGAUGGCCAUGUUGGCAUCCCAGGUGUCCCACUCGCCGGAACAUUGCUACACCACCAGAUCCGAAUCGCCAUAGCAUAGGAUGCACCGGAUGCCGAGUUCCUUGGCAAGCCGGAGGCCAUGCACAAGGGCUUCAUACUCGACGACGUUGUUGGAGGCGGCGAAGUGGAUCUGGAGCACGUACCGCAGCUGGUCGCCCUUCAGGGAAGACAACACGAUGUUGGCUCCCAAGCCGGAGCGCAUAUUGGAGCCGUCAAAGUGCAUGCGCCAAUGUGUUGAAUCCUCCGGCGACAGCAGGUACUGGGUCUCUAUCCAGUCGACGAGGAAGUCAGCGAAGGCCUGGGACUUGAUCGUGGAGCGGGGCUCGUAGAGGAUGGUGUGGUCGGCCAGCUCGAUGGCCCACUUGGCAACCCGACUAGAGGCAUCCCGACAACCUAUGAUCUCGCUGAUGGGGGCCCUGCUGGCCACAGUGAUAAUGUGCUCUUGGAAGUACUGCUUCAGCUUCUUGGCGGUAAAAUACACACCAUAACACAUCUUCUGGUAGUGCGGGUAGUUCUACUUGGAUGCGGAAAGCAGCUCGCUCAGGUAGUAGACUUGGUGCUGGACAUACUGGAUCUUGCCCUUCUCUUGUCGCUCGACCACCAGCACCGUGCUAACCGAUCGUGAGGUGGCGGCGAUGUAUAGCAAUAGUGGCUCCUUGUCAACCGGCGCGGCCAAGACGGGUGCGGUGGAGAGCAUGCGCUUGAGAUCCUGAAAUGCUUCGUCCGCCUGGUCGUUCUGCUCGAACGGCGAUGUAUUCUGCAUCAGCUGAUAUAGGGGCAGGGCCCUCUCGCCCAGCAGGCUGAGAAACUGGCUGACCGAGGCCAAGCAGCCAGUGAACUUCUGGGCAUCAUGCAACCUGGUUGGCUUGCGCCUGCGCUCGAUAACCUUGAUCUUCUCCGAGUUUGCCUCAAUGCUGCGCUCCGAGAUGAGGAAGCCGGGCAGCUUCCCGGCCGGCACGCCGAGCACGCACUUCUUUGGGUUGAGCUUGAUCUGGUACUCGCGCAGAUUGGCCAAGGUCUCUUUUUGGUCAUCAAGGAGCGUGAGGUGCUGCUUGGUCUUCACCACGAUGUCGUCAACGUAGACGUGAAUGUUGCGGCCGAGUUGCUUCAGCAAGCAUUUCUGCAUGCACCGCUGGAAGGUGGCGCCGGCAUUCUUCAAGCCGAACGACAUGGUGAUGUAGCAGUAUGCCCCAAAGGGUGUGAUGAAGGACAUCUUCGGGGCAUCGGCCGGGUCCAGCUUGAUAUGAUGAUAGCCAGAGUAAGCAUCCAGGAAGGACAUGAGCUCACAACCGGCGGUGGAGUCAAUGACUUGAUCGAUCCGCAGGAGGGCGAAAGGAUCCUUGGGGCAAGCCAUGUUCAGGCUGGUGUAGUCUAUGCACAUGCAUUAGGUGUUGUUCUUCUUCAGGACGAGGACCGGGUUGGCCAGCCACUCGGGAUGAAACACUUCCAUGAUGAAGCCGGCCGCGAGUAGCUUGGCGACCUCUUCACCUAUGGUUCUUCUCUUCUCUUCCAAAAAGCGACGUAGGGGUUGACGGACAGCCUUGGCGUCCUUGCGUACAUGGAGUUUGUGCUCUACGUACUUCCUCAGAAUCCCCGGCAUGUCCUUUAGGGGCCAGCCACUGAUGUAUGCAUGUUUUUAAGUUUGAAGCAAUGCUGGUUCGUUCUGGGGACACUGCGGCCGAUUUCUCUCUCGGACUAGUUAUUCAAAGUUUCAACGCACCUUUUGUUGUGUGUACUUGUUUUGUCUUGGUAUACCAAUGGUUCUGGACAAUGGGAGAUGGUGAUACACUUUGGAGAUUACAUUGUACCUUCUUUUGGUGCUAUUUUCUUGUCAUGUCUUUUAAAUAGGUUAUGUUUUAAAUAGCAGAACACCAAGGGGACAAUGAUGCUGUUAAUAGGAAAUAUUGUGGAUCAUAAUGUUCAUCCUCUGCUGUUAGACAACUUUUGACACAAAAGUGUUUCAGAAGACUAGGAAGAUAUCCUCUUUAUUUGUGGGUAUUUUCCACAUAGGUAGGUUUAAAGAGAUUAAAAUGUGCGAUGUCAGACACUUCCUUUGUUAUAAUGGUGCACAUACACUCCAGUCCAAUGCAAUUUUUCUGUGUUAAUAAGAGAGGUAAUUUGACUUACCACUGAGGGGUUUGCCUAGGGGGACGAUGUUCAACUCUAUCUGGAGGUUUGUGUUGAGAAGGUCAUUAUCGAAACUAAUUUCUUUAGCUGCACACUAGUAGAAAACAGGGCUAUCGUUCGGGCCUGGCCAGCCCAUUAGUCGUAUUAGACCCGGUUUGUGAGCCCGGGGGGCCGGCCGGGGCCUCGUGGGCAUUGGUCCCGAUUCAUGUGGAACCAUUUGUCCCGGUUCAAGCCAUGAAUCGGGACCAAUGGUCCUCGCUCCUGGCCCACAACCAUUGGUCCCGAUUCGUGGCUUGAACCGGGACAGAAGGGAGGGCUUUAGUCCCGGUUCAUGCCACGAACCGGGACAAAUAACUUUCCUAUAUAUAUACCCACCGCCGCGGCAGAGCACUCCACAGUGCUCUGUUUUUUCAAUCCGGCGAGGAGAGGACAUUUGGGUGCUCUAGUUCACUUGCUAUGCACAUGAGGUGUUCGAUGAAAUGCCCGAGCCACACUAGUUAAGCUUUCUCCUCUCGAAGCUCAACCUCGGAGCUCUAUUUUUUCUGAGAUUUGUCUAGAUUUAGCAGUCCAUCACGCCCCGUCCCCAUUUUCACCGCCGUUGAUCGCCCGCGCCGAUCUCGUCGCCGGCACCACCGUGGUGAGCCUCUUGUUCUUAUCUUCUUUCUGAUACUUGUCUGACUUUCUUACUUUAGAUAGAUAUUUGUCUGAUUUUCUUACUUUUGACACACAUAAUUAUAUAUAAUGCACGCAGAUGAACCGGCAAUGGAUGUAUGGUGACAGACACACCUCCGAGUACAUUACGGGCGUGCAUAAUUUUCUCGAAGUGGCUAAGGCAAACAAGUAGAAUGGUUUUAUGUGUUGUCCAUGCACUAAAUGUGGGAAUACAAAGUCUUACUCUGACCGGAAAAUCCUUCACACCCACCUACUUUACAAGGUUUUCAUGCCACACUAUAAUGUUUGGACGAGGCACAGAGAAAUAUGGGUUAUGAUGGAAGACGGCUAAGAAGAAGAGGACAAUGACAAAUAUGUGCCCCCUGAAUACGGUGAUGCUGCAACCGGGGGAGCUACUGAAGAUCAAGAGGAACCAGACGAUGUGCCCGAUGAUGCUGCAAUGGGGGAAGCUGCUGAAGAUCAAGAGGAACCAGACGAUGUGCCCGAUGAUGAUCUCCGCCGGGUCAUUGUCGAUGCAAGGACGCAAUGCGAAAGUCAAAAGGAGAAGCUAAAGUUCGAUCGCAUUUUAGAGGAUCACAAAAAAGGGUUGUACCCCAAUUACGAAGAUGGCAACACUAAGCUGGGUACCGUACUGGAAUUGCUGUAGUGGAAGGCGGAGAAUGUUGUGCCUGACAAAGGAUUUGAGAAGCUACUGAAAAUAUUGAAGAAGGAGCUUCCAAAGGAUAAUGAAUUGCCCGAUAGUACGUAAGCAACAAAGAAGGUCGUAUGCCCUCUAGGAUUGGAGGUGCAGAAGAUACAUGCAUGCCCUAAUGACUGCAUCCUCUACCGCGGUGCGUACGAGGAUUUGAACGCAUGCCCGGUAUGCGGUGCAUUAAGGUAUAAGAUCAGGCGAGAUGACCCUGGUGAUGUUGACGGCGAGCCCCGCAGGAAGAGAGUUCCUGCGAAGGUGAUGUGGUAUGCUCCUAUAAUACCACGGUUGAAACGACUGUUUAGAAACAAAGAGCAUGCCAAGUUGAUGCGAUGGCACAGGGAGGACCGUAAGAAAGACGGGAAGUUGAGAGCACCAGCUGACGGGUCGCAGUGGAGAAAAAUCGAGAGAGAGUACUGGGCUGAGUUUGCACAUGACCCAAGGAACGUAUGGUUUGGUUUAAGCGUGGAUGGCAUUAAUCCUUUCGGGGAGCAGAGCAGCAAUCACAGCACCUGGCCCGUGACUCUAUGUAUGUAUAACCUUCCAACUUGGAUGUGCAUGAAGUGGAAGUUCAUUAUGAUGCCAGUUCUCAUCCAAGGCCCUAAGCAACCCGACAACAACAUUGAUGUGUACCUAAGGCCAUUAGUUUAAGAACUUUUACAGCUAUGGAAUGGAAACGGUGUACGUGUGUGGGAUGAGCACAGACAGGAGGAAUUUAACCUGCACACGUUGCUGUUUGUAACCAUCAACGAUUGGCCCGCUCUCAGUAACCUUUCAGGACAGACAAAUAAGGGAUACCACGCAUGCACGCACUGUUUAGCUGACACCGAAAGUAUAUACCUGGGAAGGUGCAGGAAGAAUGUGUACCUGGGCCAUCGUCGAUUUCUUUCGACCAACCAUCAAUGUCGAAAGAAAGGCAAGCAUUUCAAAGGCGAGGCAGAUCACCGGAAGAAGCCCGCCAUGCGUACUGGUGAUCACGUACUUGCUAUGGUCAAUGAUUUACACGUAAUAUUUGGAAAGGGUCCCGGCGGACUAGCUGUUCCGAGUGACGCUGAGGGACACGCACCCAUGUGGAAGAAGAAAUCUAUAUUUUGGGACCUACCCUACUGGAAAGACCUAGAGGUCUGCUCUUCGAUCGACGUGAUGCACGUGACGAAGAACCUUUGCGUGAACCUGCUUGGCUUCUUGGGCGUGUAUGGGAAGACAAAAGAUACAGCUGAGGCACGGGAGGACCUGCAACGUUUGCACGAAAAAGACGACAUGCCUCCAAAGCAGUAUGAAGGUCCUGCCAGCUACACUCUUUUUGGGGAACGUAGUAAUUUCAAAAAAUUUCCUACGCACACGUAAGAUCAUGGUGAUUUAUAGCAACGAGAGGGGAGAGUGUUGUCCAGGUACCCUCGUAGACCGAAAGCAGAAGUGUUAGAACAACACGGUUGAUGUAGUCGUACGUCUUCACGGCCCGACCGAUCAAGCACCGAAACUACGACACCUCCGAGUUCUAGCACACGUUUAGCUCGAUGACGAUCCCCGUACUCCGAUCCAGCAGAAUGUCGGGGAAGAGUUCCGUCAGCACAACAGCGUGGUGACGAUCUUGAUGUUCUACCAUCGCAGGGCUUCGGCUAAGCAUCGCUACAAUAUUAUCGAGGACUAUGGUGGAGGGGGGCACCGCACACGGCUAAGAGAUCAAGAGAUCAAUUGUUGUGUCUUAGAGGUGCCCCCUGCCCCUGUAUAUAAAGGAGCAAGGGGGGAGGGGGCGGCCGGCCUAGGAGGGGGCGCGCCAUGGGGAGUCCUACUCCCACCGGGAGUAGGACUCCCUCCUUCCUUGUUGGACUAGGAGAGGGGAAGGAAAGGGAGAGGAGGAGAAGGAAAGAGGGGGGAGGCCCCCCUUGCCCUAAACCAAUUCGGUUUGGGCCUUGGGGGGCGCGCCCCACACUCCCCUUGCUGCCCUCUAUUUCCACUAAGGCCCAUGUAGGCCCAUUAAGCUCCCGGGGGGUUCCGGUAACCUCCCGGUACUCCGGUAAAAUCCCGAUUUCACCCGGAACACUUCCGACAUCCAAAUAUAGGCUUCCAAUAUAUCAAUCUUCAUGUCUCGACCAUUUCGAGACACCUCGUCAUGUCCGUAAUCUCAUCCGGGACUCUGAACAAACUUCGGUAUAUCAAAACUCAUAAACUCAUAAUAUAACUGUCAUCGAAACCUUAAGCGUGUGGACCCUACGGGUUCGAGAACUAAGUAGACAUGGCCGAUACUCGUUUUCGGUCAAUAACCAAUAGCAGAACCUGGAUGCUCAUAUUGGCGCCUACAUAUUCUACGAAGAUCUUUAUCGGUCAAACGCAUAACGACAUACGUUGUUCCCUUUGUCAUUGGUAUGUUACUUGCCCGAGAUUCGAUCGUCGAUAUCCUAAUACCUAGUUCAAUCUCAUUACCGACAAGUCUCUUUACUCGUUACGUAAUGCAUCAUUCCAUAACUAACUUAUUAGCUACAUUGCUUGCAAGGCUUAUAUUGAUGUGCAUUACCUAGAGGGCCCAGAGAUACCUCUCCGACAAUCAGAGUGACAAAACCUAAUCUCGAAAUACGCCAACUCAACAUGUACAUUUGGAGACACCUGUAGAGCUCCUUUAUAAUCACUCAGUUACGUUGUGACGUUUGGUAGCACACAAAGUGUUCUUCCGGUAAACGGGAGUUGCAUAAUCUCAUAGUUAUAGGAACUUGUAUAAGUCAUGAAGAAAGCAAUAGCAACAUACUAAACGAUCAAGUGCUAAGAUAACGGAAUGGGUCAAGUCAAUCACAUCAUUCUCCUAAUGUUGUGAUCCCGUUAAUCAAAUGACAACACAUGUCUAUGGUUAGGAAACAUAACCAUCUUUGAUUAAUGAGCUAGUCAAGUAGAGGCAUACUAGUGACAUUAAGUUUGUCUAUAUUUCACACAUGUAUCAUGUUUCCGGUUAAUACAAUUCUAGCAUGAAUAAUAAACAUUUAUCAUGGUAUGAGGAAAUAAACAAUAACUUUAUUAUUGCCUCUAGGGCAUAUUUCCUUCAGUGUCCCACUUGCACGAGAGUCAAUAAUCUAGAUUACACAGUAAUGAUUCUAACACCCAUGGAGUCUUGGUGCUGAUCAUGUUUUGCUCGUGGAAGAGGCUUAGUCAACGGGUCUGCAACAUUCAGAUCCAUAUGUAUCUUGCAAAUCUCUAUGUCUCCCACCUGGACUUGGUCCCGGAUGGAAUUGUAGCGUCUCUUGUUGUGCUUGGUCCUCUUGUGAAAUAUGGAUUCCUUUGCCAAGGCAAUUGCACCAGUAUUGUCACAGAAGAUCUUUAUUGGUCCCGAUGCACUAGGUAUGACACCUAGAUCGGAAAUGAACUCUUUCAUCCAGACUCCUUCAUUUGCUGCUUCCGAAGCAACUAUGUAUUCCGCUUCACAUGUAGAUCCCACCACGACGCUUUGUUUAGAACUGUACCAACUGACAGCUCCACCGUUCAAUAUAAACACGUAUCCGGUUUGCGAUUUAGAAUCGUCCGGAUCAGUGUCAAAGCUUGCAUUGAUGUAACCAUUUACGACUAGCUCUUUUUCACCUCCAUAAACGAGAAACAUAUCCUUAGUCCUUUUCAGGUAUUUCAGGAUAUUCUUGAUCGCUGUCCAGUGAUCCACUUCUGGAUUACUUUGGUACCUCCCUGCCAAACUUAUUGCUAAGCAUACAUCAGGUCUGGUACACAACAUUGCAUACAUGAUAGAGCCUAUGGCUGAAGCAUAGGGAACAUCUUUCAUUUUCUCUCUAGCUUCUGCUCUGGUCGGGCAUUGAGUCUGACUCAACUUCACACCUUGUAAUACAGGCAAGAACCCUUUCUUUGCCUGAUCCAUUUUGAACUUUUUCAAAACUUUAUCAAGGUAUAUAUGUGCUUUGUGAAAGUCCAAUUAAGCGUCUUGAUCUAUCUCUAUAGAUCUUGAUGCCCAAUAUGUAAGCAGCUUCACCGAGGUCUUUCAUCAAAAAACUUUUAUUCAAGUAUCCCUUUAUGCUAUCCAUAAAUUCUAUAUCAUUUCAAAUUAACAAUAUGUCAUCUACAUAUAAUAUCAGAAAUGCUACAGAGCUCCCACUCACUUUCUUGUAAAUACAGGCUUCUCCAAAAGUCUGUAUAAAACCAUAUGCUUUGAUCACACUAUCAAAGCGUUUAUUCCAACUCCGAGAUGCUUGCACCAGUCCAUAAAUGGACUGCUGGAGCUUGCACACUUUGUUAGCAUCUUUUGGAUCGACAAAACCUUCCGGCUGCAUCAUAUAUAACUCUUCUUCCAGAAAUCCAUUCAGGAAUGCCGUUUUGACAUCCAUUUGCCAAAUUUCAUAAUCAUAAAAUGCGGAAAUUGCUAACAUGAUUCGGACGGACUUAAGCAUCGCUACUGGUGAGAAAGUCUCAUCAUAGUCAACCCCUUGAACUUGUCGAAAACCUUUCGCAACAAGUCGAGCUUUGUAGUCAGUUACAUUACCAUCAGCGUCAGUCUUCUUCUUGAAGAUCCAUUUAUUCUCGAUGGCUUGCCGAUCAUCGGGCAAGUCAACCAAAGUCCAUACUUUGUUCUCAUACAUGGAUCCCAUGUCAGAUUUCAUGGUCUCAAGCCAUUUUGCGGAAUCUUGGCUCAUCAUCGCUUCCUCAUAGUUCGUAGGUUCGUCAUGGUCAAGUAACAUGACUUCCAGAAUAGGAUUACCGUACCACUCUGGUGCGGAUCUUAUUCUGGUAGACCUACGAGGUUCGGUAGUAACUUGAUCCAAAGUUUCAUGAUCAUUAUCAUUAGCUUCCUCACUGAUUGGUGUAGUUGUCACAGGAACCGGUUCUUGUGAUGAACUACUUUCCAAUAAGGGAGCAGGUACAGUUACCUCAUCAAGUUCUACUUUCCUCCCACUCACUUCUUUCGAGAGAAACUCCUUCUCUAGAAAGGAUCCGAAUUUAGCAACAAAAAUCUUGCCCUCAGAUCUGUGAUAGAAGGUGUAUCCAAUAGUCUCUUUUGCGUAUCCUAUGAAGACACAUUUCUCCGAUUUUGGUUCGAGCUUAUCUGGUUGAAGUUUCUUCACAUAAGCAUCGCAGCCCCAAACUUUAAGAAACAACAACUUUGGUUUCUUGCCAAACCACAGUUCAUAAGGCGUCGUCUCAACGGAUUUUGAUGGUGCCCUAUUUAACGUGAAUGCGGCCGUCUCUAAAGCAUAACCCCAAAACGAUAGCGGUAAAUCAGUAAGAGACAUCAUAGAUCGCACCAUAUCUAGUAGAGUACGAUUACGACGGUUGGACACACCAUUUUGUUGUGGUGUUCCGGGUGGCGUGAGUUGUGAAAUUAUUCCGCAUUGCUUCAAAUGUAAACCAAACUUGUAACUCAAAUAUUCUCCUCCAUGAUCAGAUCGUAGGAAUUUUAUUUUCUUGUUACGAUGAUUUUCCACUUCACUUUGAAAUUCUUUGAACUUUUCAUAUGUUUCAGACUUGUGUUUCAUCAAGUAGAUAUACCCAUAUCUGCUCAAAUUAUCUGUGAAGGUGAGAAAAAAACGAUACCCGCCGCGAGCCUCAAUAUUCAUCGGACCACAUACAUUAGUAUGUAUGAUUUCCAACAAAUCAGUUGCUCGCUCCAUAGUUCUGGAGAAUGGCGUUUUAGUCAUCUUGCCCAUGAGGCACGGUUCGCAAGUACCAAGUGAUUCAUAAUCAAGUGACUCCAGAAGUCCAUCAGUAUGGAGUUUCUUCAUGUGCUUUACACCAAUAUGACCCAAACGGCAGUGCCACAAAUAAGUUGCACUAUCAUUAUCAACUCUGCAUCUUUUGGCUUUAACAUUAUGAAUAUGUGUAUCAUUACUAUCGAGAUUUAAUAAAAAUAGACCACUCUUCAAGGGUGCAUGACCAUAAAAGAUAUUACUCAUAUAAAUAGAACAACCAUUAUUCCCUGAUUUAAAUGAAUAACUAUCUCGCAUCAAACAAGAUCCAGAUAUAAUGUCCAUGCUUAACGCUGGCACCAAAUAACAAUUAUUCAGGUCUAAAACUAAUCCCGAUGGUAGAUGUAGAGGUAGCAUGCCGACCGCGAUCACAUCGACUUUGGAACCAUUUCCCACGUGCAUCGUCAUCUAGUCCUUAGCCAAUCUUCGCUUAAUCCGUAGUCCCUGUUUCGAGUUGCAAAUAUUAGCAACAGAACCAAUAUCAAAUACCCAGGUGCUAUGCGAGCAUUAGUAAGGUACACAUCAAUAACAUGUAUAUCACAUAUACCUUUGUUCACUUUGCCAUCCUUCUUAUCCGCCAAAUACUUGGGGCAGUUCCGCUUCCAGUGUCCAGUCUGCUUGCAGUAGAAGCACUCAGUCUCAUUCUUAGGUCCAGACUUGGGUUUCUUCUCUUGAGCAGCAACUUGUUUGCUGUUCUUCUUGAAGUUCCCCUUUUUCUUCCCUUUGCCCUUUUCUUGAAACUGGUGGUCUUAUUGACCAUCAACACUUGAUGCUCCUUCUUGAUUUCUACCUCCGCAGCUUUUAGCAUUGCGAAGAGCUCGGGAAUCCCUUGCAUAUUAUAGUUCAUCACGAAGCUCUUGUAGCUUGGUGGCAGUGAUUGAAGAAUUGUAUCAAUGACACUAUCAUCAGGAAGAUUAACUCCCAGUUGAAUCAAGUGAUUAUUAUACCCAGACAUUUUGAGUAUAUGUUCACUGACAGAACUAUUCUCCUCCAUCUUACAGCUAUAGAACUUAUUGGAGACUUCAUAUCUCUCAAUCCGGGCAUUUCCUUGAAAUAUUAACUUCAACUACUGGAAAAUCUCAUAUGCUCCAUGAUGUUCAAAACGUCGUUGAAGCCCCGGUUCUAAGCCGUAAAGCACGGCACACUGAACUAUCGAGUAGUCAUCAGCUUUGCUCUGCCAGAUGUUCUUAACGUCGUCAGUUGCAUCUGCAGCAGGCCUGGCACCCAACGGUGCUUCCAGGACGUAAUUCUUCUAUGCAGCAAUGAGGAUAAUCCUCAAGUUACGGACCCAGUCCGUGUAAUUGCUACCAUCAUCUUUCAACUUAGCUUUCUCAAGGAACGCAUUAAAAUUCAACGGAACAACAGCACGAGCCAUCUAUCUACAACAAACAUAGACAAGCAAAAUACUAUCAGGUACUAAGUUCAUGAUAAAUUUAAGUUCAAUUAAUCAUAUUACUUAAGAACUCCCACUUAGACAGACAUCUCUCUAGUCAUCUAAGUGAUCACGUGAUCCAAAUCAACUAAACCAUGUUCGAUCAUCACGUGAGAUGGAGUAGUUUCAAUGGUGAACAUCACUAUGUUGAUCAUAUCUACUAUAUGAUUCACGUUCGACCUUUUGGUCUCCGUGUUCCGAGGCCAUAUCUUUAUAUGCUAGGCUCGUCAAGUUUAACCUGAGUAUUCUGCGUGUGCAACAGUUUUGCACCCGUUGUAUUUGAACGUAGAGCCUAUCACACCCGAUCAUCACAUGGUGUCUCAGCACGAAGAACUUUCGCAACGGUGCAUACUCAGGGAGAACACUUCUUGAUAAUUAGUGAGAGAUCAUCUUAAAAUGCUACAGUCAAUCAAAGUAAGAUAAGAUGCAUAAAGGAUAAACAUCACAUGCAAUCAAUAUAAGUGAUAUGAUAUGGCCAUCAUCAUCUUGUGCUUGUGAUCUUCAUCUCUGAAGCAUCGUCGUGAUCACCAUCAUCACCGGCGCGACACCUUGAUCUCCAUCGUAGCAUCAUUGUCGUUUACGCCAUCUAUUGCUUCUACGACUAUCGCUACCACUUAGUGAUAAAGUAAAGCAAUUACAGGGCGUUUGCAUUUCAUACAAUAAAGCGACAACCAUAUGGCUCCUGCCAGUUGCUGAUAACUUCGGUUACAAAACAUGAUCAUCUCAUACAAUAAAAUAUAGCAUCACGUCUUGACCAUAUCACAUCACAACAUGCCCCGCAAAAACAAGUUAGAGGACCUCUACUUUGUUGUUGCAAAUUUUACGUGGCUGCUACGGGCUGAGAAAGAACCGUUCUUACCUACGCAUCAAAACAACAACGAUAGUUCAUCAAGUUAGUGCUGUUUUAACCUUCGCAAGGACCGGGCGUAGCCACACUCAGUUCAACUAAAGUUGGAGAAACAUACACCCGCCAGCCACCUGUGUGCAAAGCACGUCGGUAGAACCAGUCUCGCGUAAGCGUACGCGUAAUGUCGGUCCGGGUCGCUUCAUCCAACAAUACCGCCGAACCAAAGUAUGACAUGCUGGUAAGCAGUAUGACUUGUAUCGCCCACAACUCACUUGUGUUCUACUUGUGCAUAUAACAUCUACGCAUAAAACCUGGCUCGGAUGCCACUGUUGGGGAACGUAGUAAUUUCAAAAAAAUUCCUACGCCCACGCAAGAUCAUGGUGAUGUAUAGCAACGAGAGGGGAGAGUGUUGUCCAUGUACCCUCGCAGACCGAAAGCGGAAGCGUUAGAACAACGCGGUAAUGUAGUCAUACGUCUUCACGGCCCGACCGAUCAAGCACCGAAACUACGACACCUCCGAGUUCUAGCACACGUUCAGGUCGAUGAUGAUCCUCGUACUCCGAUCCAGCAGAAUGUCGGGGAAGAGUUUCGUCAGCACGACAGCGUGGUGACGAUCUUGAUGUUCUACCGUCGCAGGGCUUUGCCUAAGCACCGCUACAAUAUUAUUGAAGACUAUGGUGGAGGGGGGCACCGCACACGGCUAAGAGAUCAAGAGAUCAAUUAUUGUGUCAUAGAGGUGCCCCCCUGCCCCCGUAUAUCAAGGAGCAAUGGGCGAGGGGGCGGCCGGCCAAGGAGGGGGCGCGUCAUGGGGAGUCCUACUCCCACCGGGAGUAGGACUCCCUCCUUCCUUGUUGGAAUAGGAGAGGGGAAGGAAAGGGAGAGGAGAAGGAAAGAGGGGGGGCCGGCCCCCCUUGCCCUAAACCAAUUUGGGUUGGGCCUUGGGGGGGCGCCCCACACUCCCCUUGCUGCCCUCUAUUUCCACUAAGGCCCAUGUAGGCCCAUUAAGCUCCCGGGGGGUUCCGGUAACCUCCCGGUACUCCGGUAAAAUCCCUAUUUCACCCGGAACACUUCCGACAUCCAAAUAUAGGCUUCCAAUAUAUCAAUCUUCAUGUCUCGACCAUUUCGAGACUCCUCGUCAUGUCCGUAAUCUCAUCCCGGACUCCGAACAAACUUCGGUACAUCAAAACUCAUAAACUGAUAAUAUAACUGUCAUCGAAACCUUAAGCGUGCGGACCCUACGGGUUGGAGAACUAUGUAGACAUGACCGAGACUCGUAUCCGGUCAAUAACCAAUAGCAGAACCUGGAUGCUCAUAUUGGCGCCUACAUAUUCUACAAAGAUCUUUAUCGGUCAAACCGCAUAACAACAUACGUUGUUCCCUUUGUCAUCGGUAUGUUACUUGCCUGAGAUUCGAUCAUCGGUAUCCUAAUACCUAGUUCAAUCUCGUUACCGACAAGUCUCUUUACUCGUUACGUAAUGCAUCAUUCCGUAACUAACUUAUUAGCUACAUUGCUUGCAAGGAUUAUAUUGAUGUGCCUUACCGAGAGGGCCCAGAGAUACCUCUCCGACAAUCGGAGUGACAAAACCUAAUCUCGAAAUACGCCAACUCAACGUGUACCUUUGGAGACACCUGUAGAGCUCCUUUAUAAUCACCCAGUUACAUUGUGACGUUUGGUAGCACACAAAGUGUUCUUCUGGUAAACGGGAGUUGCAUAAUCUCAUAGUUAUAUGAACUUGUAUAAUUCAUGAAGAAAGCAAUAGCAACAUACUAAACGAUCAAGUGCUAAGCUAACGGAAUGGGUCAAGUCAAUCACAUCAUUCUCCUAAUGAUGUGAUCCCGUUAAUCAAAUGACAACACAUAUCUAUGGUUAGGAGACAUAACCAUAUUUGAUUAAUGAGCUAGUCAAGUAGAGGCAUACUAGUGACAUUAAGUUUGUCUAUAUAUUCACACAUGUAUCAUGUUUCCGGUUAAUACAAUUCUAGCCUGAAUAAUAAACAUUUAUCAUGAUAUGAGGAAAUAAAUAAUAACUUUAUUAUUGCCUCUAGGGCAUAUUUCCUUCACUCUUACCAAAGAAGAGAAGGAAAUCUUCUUUGAAUGCCUGCUUAGUAUGAAGGUCCCAACUGGCUUCUCGUUGAAUAUAAAGGGAAUAAUAAAUAUGGCAGAGAAAAAGUUUCAGAACCUAAAGUCUCAUGACUGCCACGUGAUUAUGACGCAACUGCUUCCGGUUGCAUUGAGGGGGCUUCUACCGGAAAACGUCCGAUUAGCCAUUGUGAAGCUAUGUGCAUUCCUCAAUGCAAUCUCUCAGAAGGUGAUCGAUCCAUAAAUCGUACCAAGGCUAAGGAGUGAUGUGGUGCAAUGUCUUGUCAGUUUCGAGCUGGUGUUCCCACCAUCCUUCUUCAAUAUCAUGACGCACGUCCUAGUUCAUCUAGUUGACGAGAUUGUCAUUUUGGGCCCCGUAUUUCUACACAAUAUGUACCCCUUUGAGAGGUUCAUGGGAGUCCUAAAGAAAUAUGUCUAUAACCGCGCUAGGCCAGAAGGAAGCAUCUUCAUGGGCCAUCAAACAGAGGAUGUCAUUGGGUUUUGUGUUGACUUCAUUCCUAGCCUUAAGAAGAUAGGUCUCCCUAAAUCAUGGUAUGAGGGGAGACUGACUGGAAAAGGCACGCUUGGAGGGGAGACAAUAAUAUGCAGGGACGGAUAUUCUUGGUCUCGAGCACACUACACAGUUCUAGAAAACUCUACCUUGGUGUUAUGUCGAUGAACACAAGAACAGUAUGCGCUCCAAACACCCGGAGCAGUGCGACAACUGGAUUACAUGUGAACACAUCAGGACUUUCAGCAGUUGGUUGGAAACACGUCUCAGAGAUGAAAACACUAUUUGUGAGGAGUUGUACUCGUUGUCCAGGGGACCAUCUUCGACUAUAAUGAUUUGGGAAGGAUACGAGAUAAAUGGGAAUACAUUUUACACGAUCGCCCAAGAUCAAAAGAGCACCAACCAAAAUAGCGGUGGCUGCUUUGAUGCAGCCACCGAGAGGGGAAAGGACACAUAUUAUGGUUACAUAGUCGACAUAUGGGAACUUGACUACGGAGUAGAUUUUAAGGUCCCUUUGUUUAAAUGCAACUGGGUCAAUCUGUCAGGAGGCAGGGUACAGGUAGACCCACAGUACGGAAUGACAACAGUGGAUCUGAACAAUCUUGGGUACAUUGACGAACUGUUCGUCCUAGCCAAUGAUGUGGCACAGGUUAUCUAUGUGAAGGACAUGUCUACCAAACCGAGAAAAAGAAAAAAAUAAGGAAGCGAAUACAUCAUACGAUGAGCCAAAGCGCCACAUAGUUCUUUCAGGAAAAAGGGACAUCGUGGGAGUGGAGGGCAAGACAGACAUGUCCGAAGAUUAUGAAAAGUUUCAUGAAAUUCCUCCCUUCAAAGUCAAGGCUGACCCAAGCAUCCUGAUAAAUGAUGAAGAUUAUCCAUGGUUACGGCGCAAUAAGGAAAGGACACAAGCAAAGAAAAAGUGAAGACUUUGUCCACAACUAUUAUGAUGAUACCAUGCCAACUUUCAACCUUUUCGUAGUUCAUUUGAAAUGUCUAUUGUAACAGACAAGUUUCCGUAUGAAAUCCUGAUACUUUGAAAGAGAUUGUCCGUUUUGUACAUGAAGUGCAUCCAGUUUUUGCCGUAACCCAGUCAACUUUCUUGCACAUGCUAUGUGGAUGAAAUGAUGAUACCAUGCCAACUUCCAACCUUUUCAGAGUUCAUUUGAAAUGCUUUUCAAUUUUAGGGUCUUAUAGCUCAAAAUAAUCACUAGAUGCAUGAAAAAUAACAAAUGAAGUCAGAAAGGGUUGAAAAUUGAUGAUGUGGCUUUGAAUGGUGCAUUUUGAACACACAAAAAGUCAGGAGUUCAAAUAAGUUUAAAAAAAUAAAAUCCCUGUGUAACAGAUGAGUUUCCGUAUGAAACCCUGAUACUUCGAAAGAGAUUGUCCAUUUUGUACACGAAGUAUAUAUAUCCAAUUUUUCCCAUAACCCUCUCAACUUUUUAGCACAUGCUAUGUGGGUGAAAUGAUGAUACCAUGCCAACUUUCAAUCUUUUCAGAGUUGAUUUGAAAUGAUUUUCAAUUUUAAGGUCUUAUAGCUCAAAAAAAACCCAGUAAAUGAUGUUAUAAAACUCUAAUAGCAAAAGGAAUCAACUAAAAAGAUUUUUUUUGAUAGAAACUAAAAUAACAAAAUCUGUUUUUCAAUAUAAUGAUAAAACGCAGUAAUAUUAAAUAGCAGGAAAAAGAAACACUCCAAAUAUAUUUUUAUAGUGAAGUUAUUCACAAACUAGUGAUUCACACAAAUAUCAAAGAAUUGAAAUUUAAACUAUUCAAAUUUGGAAACUAAUUGAGUAAAAGAAAGAUUGUAAUUAUUCUGAGCUAAAAGAAAAAAGAACAAAAAAAUAAAGCAAAAAUCAAAAGAAAAUAAAUAAUUCCCACCGCACCGCGCUGUGCGAGGCCUUUAGUCCCGGUUGGUGCCAUCAAUCGGGACUAAAGGGGUGCAUUGGUCCCGGUUGGUGGCACAAACCGGUACCAAUGCCCCCCCCCCUUUAGUCCCGGUUGGUGCCACCAACCGGGAUUAAAGGUUGCAUUCGUCCCGAUUUGUCUCACGAACCGGGACCAAUGCAUUGUCUAUAUAACUAGCACUCGUCAAAAUUUCAUCCAGUUCGUUCUUCUCCGCGCCCGAUGCCGCCAGGCUACCCUCUCCGCCUCGCCAUCGCUGUCGUCGCCCCGCACCGCCCCAACGCCAUCACCGCCCCGCGCCCCGUGCGCCGCAACGCCACUGGCCCCUGCCCAUCGCCGCCCCGCCCCUCACCGUCGACCGUCGCCACGCCGCCCCUCAUGCACCGUCGCCGUCGCCGUCCCCUGCCCGUCGCCCUCGCCGCGCCCCUCACGCCGUCGCCAUCCCGUGAGGUUGAAUUUUGCUAAUUUAAUUUGAUGUGUAGUAAAUUUAGACGUGUAGUAAUUUAGAUGUGUAGUUAAUUGAGUUAGAUUUUGUUAGAUUUUUUUGAAGUUCAUAGAUUUUUUUUGUUAGAUGUGUAGUAAUUUAGAUGUGUAGUUCAUAUUUUUUUUCAUAUUGUGUUAGAUUUUUUUUCUGUUAAUAGAUUUUUUGGUGAUAUUAUUGUUGAAUAUGCAUGUUUGUAUGUUCAUAUAUAUGUAAACAUUGAAUAUGUCAAUAUUUUAUAAUUUUUUUUGUUCAUAGAAUUUUUAUGAUUUUUUUCUGUUGUAAUUUUGUUCAUAGAAUUUUAAUGAUUUUUUUGUUCAUAGAAUUUUUCUUUGUCAAUUUAUGUAUAUGUUCAUAUUGUGUAUGUAUAGGAAAAUUGUGUAUGAUCAAAGUCAUUUAUGAAUAUGUUCAUAUUUAGAAGAGAGGAAAAAGGAAAAUAAGAAGAGAAAGUGUUUAAUAUAAUUAGUUAGAAAAAUAAUAAAAUUAUAGUUAAACUAGUUUAUUUUAGUAAGUACUACUUUAUUUAAUUUAUAGUAAGUGAUUAAUAUAUAGUUGAACUAGCUAGUUGAUUUAAUAAACUACUUUAUUUUACUAUAGAAGUAGUUUAUUUUUAGUAAGUAGUACUUUAUUUAUUUAUAGUAAGUGCUUAGUAGUUGAACUAGUUGAUUUAAUUAAUAAAACUACUUUAUUUUACUAUAUAUAGAAGUAGUUCCCGCAUCGACGUCGAUGAUGCCUAUCUCGCAUCCUCGUCGUCGACUCGGUGGUGGAGGCCUGCUUGAUCAGGGCCAUGUCCGGGAUUGGGCUCCGUCGGGCUGGUAUUGGGAGGUCCUACCUUCCGGGGGCGUAGGUUGGUGAGGAGCCAGCCCGUUGUUGAUCCGAUCCUUGUUUGGUGGCGGUCGCGUGGGCCAGUGACGGUGCCGAGGCUUCCGGACACCGCGGAGGUGGUACGUCACCGUGUCAGCGAGGAGGACGAGCACGUUCAUCGCUACAUGGUUGCGUUGGUGGGCAGGUUCGACAAUACCUGGCAGGUUCUUCAGGGAUCUCACUGGAGCUAUGAUCCUGUGAUGGUUCCAUAUCUUUGGGUGUCCACCGCCCGCGACGAUACCCGUCCGGCGCUAUGGUUCUAGCUGUAUUAGCGAUGCUAUAUACAUAAUAGUAAUCGAGGAGUAUUAGUGAUAAUAUUCGAUGAUGUACGGACACAAGAGAUGAUGUACUUUUGCUUAUAAUUGAAUGCGUGCUAAUUUGAAUACUACUUUAUUAUACGAUUUGGUUUUGCUUAUUGAAUGCUCAUAUUGAAAAAAUACUCCUACUUUGAAUGCUAAAAUUGAAGAGCACUCUAUGCAGAAAUCUAGGAGCCCCCUCCAUCAUCCAUGCCGUCGUGGGGGGUAGCUUCUCCUUCAUUCCUGUGUGCUAGACAAUUUGGUGUAAUAAUACACUCGAGAAUGAAAGGAGGAGCUACCAUCACCGAUAGUCAACCCGUGAUUAAUAAUAAUGCUCUAAUUUAGGUUUUUUAGAACAUAUAUUUAAUUGUACAAGUUUCAUAUUUGAAUUAUGAACAUAGGCCGGAAAUGCCGUACUCGGACGACGAAAACCGCCCGGGGGAGUGCGACUGGUGCCACGACGACUGAGGUAUGUGUGACUGGUUCCUUGAGCUGGACGAAGAUCGGCGCUUCAGCAUCAAGCUCGAGGAGACCUUCGAUGUUCAUACGGUACGCAAUGACGACAAUAGUUUUUUUCAUAAUUAAGCACGACUUCAACUAUUUUAACGUGUAUUUUUCAUCUUUUCCAAUUCGACUAGCUUAUCCCAUGCUAUGCAAGAUGCUAUGUCUUGGAGAGGAUGGGUUUUGAAGACCAUGAAAGUAUGGAAACCAAAAAAAUUCACCUAAGGACCCAUCAUGGUGUUGAAGUAAAACUGUACAAUGCUGAGAGUGUAACCCAUUUUGGUUGCAAAAAUUGGGAAGCACUUUGCAAGAUGUAUGGUUUUGAUGAGGGUAUGCUUGUCACCAUGGAUCUUGGUGAUCCUACAAUCCAGCAAGACAAUAUGGACAUUUGGGUUCUUGUGGAUACACUUCCAAUUCUUCCCCAUGUGAGCUUCUCAAACAUAGUUAUUAAGUAAUAUAGAUUGUUUAUUUCAAAAUAGUUGACAACUUAUUUCCACUCACAGCUUAUUUUCAUUCUUCAAAGAAUGUGCGGAAGAUGGUAGACAAAACCCACUACACUGAUGGCUCCAAAUUAACUUAUAAGGAGAAAAAUCAUCUAAUCACAUUUUGUACUGAUCUUGAGAAUUACAAUAUCUACAAUCGAACUCCUCAACAUUACGGUCAAUACGUGCCACUAGUGCACGUGUUGAACUACGUAACUACCAUGGAGAUACCCUGGUAAGAUUUUUUACUAUUAUGACAUCCGUGCAUCUUUUUGCAUACUUGUAAAACUAGUACAUCAUUGCUAACUACGAAGUUAUUACUAUGUUUUCAACAGAUAAUCCCGAAUGAUUGUGUGCCUCAUCUGAUGUAUACGCACGGUCGCCUUGAUGUUUUGAACAUACAACCAGGUCGUGCUACGAAUCUCAACUACCCAUACCGGAUUUCUAAAAGAAGUGGAGACAUGACAAUUAAAGAAUGGAAAAAAAUGUAUGGACAGUCGUAAGGAGCUUCUUGGAAGCAAAAGGAAGCGAAGCGCUAGAAUUGAAGAUAGGAUGAUCUCCAUUCUUCAUAAUGGAGAGUCAGGGUCUAUAUUGUUUUAUGCUAUUUAACCUUAAGGGUGUUUAGGUCCUACCUGAUACUGAUGAUCAUGUGCUAAGAACAAUUAUGUAGGGUUGGGUUCGAUGACUAUGAGGAUGAUGAUCGUAUGACUUAUUAUUAAUAACGAGUAGAAGUUGUAUGAUGAUGCAUGAUUAGUAGGACUUGUUAUUAUAUAUGAUGAUAUAUGAUGCGAACAUGAGUUAUUAUACAUCAGUGGGUGAAAUGAACAUAGCAGUAGCGUUGGUAAACCAAGGACGAAGAUAUAAGAGAUGACACUUCUCUCUAUUAGCUAGCUAAUAACAACCUAAAUUAACCCCCCAAACCCCCAAACCAGCCACUUUAAAAAACACCUCAGCUCCAGCCAGCUGCUGACGCGUGGAAGCCUAUUGGUCCCGGUUUAUGUCACCAACCGGAACCAAAGGCCCCCUUGCCUGGGCUGCCCGCAGUGGCCACGUGGAGGCCCAUCUGUCCCGGUUCGUGUAAGAACCGAGACUAAAGGGGGAGGGCAUUAGUACCGACCUUUUUGUCCCGGUUCUUAAACUGGGACAAAAGUCCCUUACGAACCAGGACAAAUGCCCUGUUUUCACUAGUAGAAAAAGGGUCAAAUGUGAGACACAUUAGUCCCGGUUUGUAACAGAACCGGCACUAAUGUGUCCAUUAGUGCCGGUUCCAAUGGCUAGCCGAGAGGAGCUCUUUAGUACCGGUUCGUGGCAAACCUUUAGCACCGGUUCGUGCCACGAACCGGUACUAAUGAGAGUGGUGGCAGGAUGUUGUCAGAGUGGGGCCCUUCCAGCACCUUUAGUACCGAUUCAUGGCACGAACCGGUACUAAAGGUCGUCCUAUAUAAACCCUUCAUCCACCCGCACUCUGUUCUUCCCCCUUUCCCCUCUCCCUCUCCUCUGUUCUUCCCUUCUUCCUCUCGAGUUCAUCACAAAAUUUGCCCCAAAUUUGUCAAGAUUUGCAGGCCCUCAUCCAUUCAAAUGAUCACCAAGGUUAGCAACUUUGUCCUUUCAUCUCUCAUUGCUAGAUUAGCUCUUGCAUUGGUUUAUAUAGUGAUUAAUUGUGGGUUUUAGUAAUUUGGGAGGAAUUAUAUGUGGUAGUAUUUGAUUUAUAUGCAAUUUGAGUUCAAAAUAACACUUAGUUUGCAUAUGUAGGUGUGGUUUACUUAGUGCCUUCUAAAUCUCCGUCGUAACCACCGUCGCUCGCCCGCACCGUCCCGUCGCCGGCACCACCUUGUGGUGAGCCUCUUGUUCAUGAAAUUUUAUAUAAAAAAUUGAUGUUUGUGUGAUUUGGAUAUAUAGUUACUCGUAUAAUAAUUAUCUUACCCGUACGUUGUUUGUUAUACAUAGUGCCAUGGUUUUGAUAUCCAUCCCCGUCGGCCCUCGUCCUUGUUAUGAUUCGGAUGUGGUAUAUUCUCUUUUAAAACUAUUUGUUGCAUUUCGUGUUUAUGACAAAUUAUGCCUAUCAAGUUGACAUAGAUAUUUUUAUCUAGGAGGUAUGUGAACCAGAAAUUCCAAACGACCCUAUUGUCGAGAGGUUAAAUUUAGUUGAAAGAGAAAAUGAGUACUUGAAAGAAAAAUUGAAAAGAAUUGAGGGGGCGAAGAUGGAAUUGGAGUUGCAUGUUGCCGAUGUCGUUGAUGAUCACAAGAUCAAGAUGGAGAAAAUGCGCUUGAAGAUUAGAAAGAUUAGAAAAUAUGCCAUCGAUAGUGAGGCUUGGUAUCAUUAUGCUGUUGGAUCAAUUGUUACCUUAGUUGCGAUCUUGAUCGCAUUUGUUGUUGCAUUUAAAUGCUUUAGCUGGAGAGUUAUUUGUUUGUUGCAUUUAAGUGUUGUAUGAACUUUAUGUAUGAACUUGUAUUAAUUUGGUCUAUUCGGUGUUGUGUAAUGAAGAUGAGCCGGCAAUGGAUGUACGAUGACCGAUGCUCUCCCAGUUCGUUGAGGGCAUGCAUACUUUUCUGCUUGCGGCUCAGGCAAACAAGCGGACGGAUGGUUUUAUGCCUUUUCCAUGUGCUGGCUGUAAGAAUGGUCGCAAUUACUCUACAUCAAGAACCAUUCAUGUCCACCUGUUUGAGUCCGGUUUCAUGCCCCACUAUAAUGUUUGGACCAAGCACGGAGAAAGAGGGGUUAUGAUGGAAGACAAUGAAGAAGAAGAGGACGACGACAGCUAUCCUGGCCAUGGGUUCCCUGAAUACGAUGAUACUACAAUGAGGGAAGAAGCUAAGCCGGUAAUGCGGGAAGAAGCUGAGCCGACAAUGCGGGAAGAAGCUGAAGAAGAGGCAUCAGAUGAGCCCGUUCAUGAUCUAGGUCGGGCCAUUGCCGAUGCAAAGAGAAACUGCGCAAGUGAUUUGGAGAAGAAGAAGUUGCAGCACAUGUUAGAGGAUCACAAAAAAUUGUUGUACCCGAAUUGCGUAGGUGACAAGAAAAAGCUGGGCACCACACUGGAAUUGCUGCAAUGGAAGGCAGAGAAUGGUGUAUAUGACAAGGGAUUUGGAAAGUUGCUGGUAAUGAUAAAGGAUAUGCUUCCAAAGGACAACGAAUUGCCCGAGAGUACGUACGAAGCAAAGAAGGUUGUCUGCCCUCUAGGGUUAGAGGUGCAGAAGAUACAUGCAUGCCCUAAUGAUUGCAUCCUCUACCGCGGUGAGUACGAGGAUUUGAACGCUUGCCCAGUAUGUGGUGCAUUGCGCUAUAAGAUCAGCCGCGAUGAGCAUGGUGAUGUCGAGGGCGAGUGCCCCAGGAAGAAGAUUCCUGCCAAGGUGAUGUGGUAUUCUCCUAUAAUACCACGGUUGAAACAUUUGUUCCAAAACAAAGAGCAUGCCAAGGCGAUGCGAUGGCAUAGAGAAGACCGUAAGAAAGACGGAAAGUUGAGAGUACUCGCUGACGGGUCGCAGUGGAGAAAAAUCGAAAGAAAGUACGGGAAGGAGUUUGCAAAUGACGCAAGGAGCGUAUGGUUUGGUCUAAGCGCAGAUGGCAUUAAUCCUUUUGGGGAGCAGAGCAGCAACCAUAGCACCUGGCCUGUGACUCUAUGUUUGUAUAACCUUCCUCCUUGGUUGUGCAUGAAGCGGAAGUUCAUUAUGAUGCCAGUGCUCAUCCAAGGCCCUAAGCAACCCGGCAAUGACAUUGAUGUGUACCUAAGGCCACUAGUUGAAGAACUCUUACAACUGUGGAAUGGAACAGGUGUACGUGCGUGGGAUGAGCACAUGGGGGAAGAAUUUGACCUAAAGGCGUUGCUGUUCGUGACCAUCAAUGAUUGGCCUGCUCUCAGUAACCUUUCAGGACAGACAAACAAGGGAUACCUCGGAUGCACACACUCUUUAGAUGAUACCGACAGUAUAUAUUUGAAUAGUUGUAAGAAGAAUGUGUACCUGGGACAUCGUCGAUUUCUUCCGAGCAGGCAUCCCGUAAGAAAGAAAGGCAAGCAUUUCAAAGGUGAGGCGGAUCACCGGACGAAGCCUCGCCACCGUACUGGUGCUGAUGUACAUGAUAUGGUCAACGAUUUGAAGGUGAUAUUUGGAAAGGGUCCUGGCGGACAACCUGUUCCAAAGGACGCUGACGGACGCGCAUCCAUGUGGAAGAAGAAAUCUAUAUUUUGGGACCUGCCAUAUUGGAAAGACCUAGAGGUCCGCUCCGCAAUCAACGUGAUGCACGUGACGAAGAAUCUUUGCGUGACCCUGCUUGGCUUCUUGGGCGUGUAUGGGAAGACAAAAGAUACACCUGAGGCAUGGGAGGACCAGCAACGUAUGCACGGAGAAGACGGCAUACAUCAGGGUCAUGCAAGCUACGCUCUUACCAAAGAAGAGAAGGAAAUCUUCUUUGAAUGCCUGCUCAGUAUUAAGGUACCGUCUGGCUUCUCGUCGAAUAUAAAGGGAAUAAUAAACAUGGCAGAGAAAAAGUUCGAGAACCUAAAGUCUCAUGACUGCCACGUGAUUAUGACGCAACUGCUUCCGGUUGCAUUGAGGGGGCUUCUACCGAAAAACGUUCGAUUAGCCAUUGUGAAGCUAUGUGCAUUUCUCAAUGCAAUCUCUCAGAAGGUAAUCGAUCCAGAAAUCAUACCAAGGUCACAGAAUGAUUUGGUGCAAUGUCUUGUCAGUUUCGAGUUGGUGUUCCCACCAUCCUUCUUCAACAUCAUGACACACGUCCUAGUUCACCUAUGCGAAGAGAUUAACAUUUUGGGUCCUGUAUUUCUACACAAUAUGUUCCCCUUUGAGAGGUUCAUGGGAGUCUUAAAGAAAUAUGUUCAUAACCGUGCUAGGCCAGAAGGAAGCAUCUCCAAGGGCCAUCAAAAUGAGGAGGUCAUUGAGUUUUGUAUUGACUUUAUUCCUGACCUUAAGCCGAUUGGUGUUCCUGAAUCGCGGCAUAAGGGCAGACUGGAUGGAAAAGGCACGCUAGGAGGGGAAAAAAUAAUAUGUAUGGACGGACAUUCUCUCACUGAAGCACACUACACAGUUCUACAGAAUUCCGCCUUGGUGGCUCCGUAUAUGGAUGAACACAAGAAUUUGCUACGCUCCAAACACCCGGAGCGGUCUGAUGACUGGAUUACAAGUGAACAAACCAGGAGUUUCGCCAGCUGGUUGCAGACACGUACCAUGCAUGACACCCCUAUUGAAGAUGACCUGUACUUGCUGUCCCAGUUACCAUCUUCGAAUAUAAUGACUUUCAAAGGGUACGAGAUAAAUGGUAAUACAUUUUACACGAUCGCCCAAGAUAAGAAGAGCACCAACCAAAAUAGUGGUGUCCGCUUUGAUGCAGAAACCAAGACGGGAAAGGAAACAUAUUAUGGUUAUAUACAGGACAUAUGGGAACUUGACUAUCGACGUGGUUUAAAGGUCCCCUUGUUUCGGUGCAAAUGGGUCAAUAUGACACGAGGCGGGGUAACGGAAGACCCGCAGUACAGAAUGACAACAGUGGAUCUCAACAAUCUUGCGUAUGCAGACGAACCAUUCGUCCUAGCCAAUGAUGUGGCACAGGUUUUCUAUGUGAAGGACAUGUCUACCAAGCCAAGAAAAAGAAAAGAUAAGGAAGCGAAUGCAUCGUACGAUGAGCCAAAGCGGCACAUAGUUCUUUCUGGGAAGAGAAACAUCGUGGGAGUGGAUGACAAGACAGACAAGUCAGAAGAUUAUACAAAGUUUGAUGAAAUUGCUCCAUUCACAGUUAAUAUUGACCCGAGCAUCCCGUUAAAUAAUGAAGAUUUUCCAUGGUUACGGCGCAAAGGGACACACGCGAAGAAAAAGUUUCACACCCAAAGAUCUGGGAUGUGAUUGGCUUCACUAGCUAUCAUCACUUUCUUCUGUGUUUCGCACCCAGAGGGGAAUCUCUGUAAUAGUUAGGGUAGUUAUGUGUUUUGGCAUUUGAAACGCGAAGAAAUUUUAUGUGCAAACAAAUUCACACUAAUUUCAAAUAAUUCAAAAUUUAAACUAUUCAAAUUUGAAACUACGGGCACUAACAGAAAGUUUUUAAUUUUUUGUACCUAAAGAGGCUAUGUCAGCCUCCGGUCAGGCUAUGGCCCCACCAUCACCAUUUAGUACCGGUUCGUACCACAAACCGGUACUAAUGAGGUUGUGUCAGGUAAGGCUGGGGCCCCACGAGCACCUUUAGUACCGGUUAAUGGAUGAACCAGACGUAAGCUGUUUUUUAGUCUCACCUCGCGAAGUGAGAGGGACUAGGAGCGGUUUAUAAACCCUGAGUGCAGAGACGAUGAAGAAGAGGAUCAAUGCUCACGUUGCUUAGCUUCAAGCCUUCAGUAAUACGGUAGACUGCACGGAGCUAUGCGCAGUGCAGUUUACACUAUUCCGAAAGGCUUGAAGCAAAUUAACGAGCAUUGCACCUCUUUUUUAUUUUUAAUAACUUAUUACAACUUUCGACUUCUUUUGUUAUGGCAAAAACUAAUUGCACGUCAACAUUUCUUUUUUUUAAGUUAUAACUCCAGACUUUGACCAUCAAGUUUUGCAGAAAAGAAAAAAUAGCAGAAAAGAAAGAAAAACUAUAGCUGAAAAGAAAAAAACUAUAUAAAAAAACUACUCAAAAAUAAAUAGAAGAAAAUAAAUAUAGCAGAAAAGAAAAAACUACUCAGAAAUAAAUAGAAGAAAAAAUAAAGCAGAAAAGAAAAAAAAAUUAUAUUUGCUAUUUUUCAACCAUUUACAAAAUGACCAUGAAAUUGAAAAUCACUACAAAAUGAAAUCUGAAAAUGUUGAAUUUUGGCAAACUAGAUAUAACAGAAAAGAAAAAACUAUACAAAAAACUGCGCAAAAAUAAAUAGAAGNNNNNNNNNNNNNNNNNNNNNNNNNNNNNNNNNNNNNNNNNNNNNNNNNNNNNNNNNNNNNNNNNNNNNNNNNNNNNNNNNNNNNNNNNNNNNNNNNNNNNNNNNNNNNNNNNNNNNNNNNNNNNNNNNNNNNNNNNNNNNNNNNNNNNNNNNNNNNNNNNNNNNNNNNNNNNNNNNNNNNNNNNNNNNNNNNNNNNNNNNNNNNNNNNNNNNNNNNNNNNNNNNNNNNNNNNNNNNNNNNNNNNCAGAGUUUCGGCCCACAAGCCUGCUAUAUAGAGGAGUUCGAAGUGAUAGCCGUGGCUGGGUUUAUAAACCAGUGCGGCUGCCCUUCGCCCGGCGAGGUGGGACUAAACUUUGGGGUGGCAGCGCGAGGCCUUUAGUACCGGUUGGAGCCACCAACCGGUACUAAAGGGUGGUCUUUAGUACCGGUUGGUGGCUCCAACCGGUACUAAAGGCCUCGUCUUCCUGCCGCUUGGCCUGGCCAAAACAGGCCUUUAGUACCGGUUGGUGGCUCCAACCGGUACUAAAGGUGCCUUCUAUAUAUACACUUACGAAAUUUUCAUUCUCCCUUUGUUUCUUCCUCUGUUUNNNNNNNNNNNNNNNNNNNNNNNNNNNNNNNNNNNNNNNNNNNNNNNNNNNNNNNNNNNNNNNNNNNNNNNNNNNNNNNNNNNNNNNNNNNNNNNNNNNNNNNNNNNNNNNNNNNNNNNNNNNNNNNNNNNNNNNNNNNNNNNNNNNNNNNNNNNNNNNNNNNNNNNNNNNNNNNNNNNNNNNNNNNNNNNNNNNNNNNNNNNNNNNNNNNNNNNNNNNNNNNNNNNNNNNNNNNNNNNNNNNNNNNNNNNNNNNNNNNNNNNNNNNNNNNNNNNNNNNNNNNNNNNNNNNNNNNNNNNNNNNNNNNNNNNNNNNNNNNNNNNNNNNNNNNNNNNNNNNNNNNNNNNNNNNNNNNNNNNNNNNNNNNNNNNNNNNNNNNNNNNNNNNNNNNNNNNNNNNNNNNNNNNNNNNNNNNNNNNNNNNNNNNNNNNNNNNNNNNNNNNNNNNNNNNNNNNNNNNNNNNNNNNNNNNNNNNNNNNNNNNNNNNNNNNNNNNNNNNNNNNNNNNNNNNNNNNNNNNNNNNNNNNNNNNNNNNNNNNNNNNNNNNNNNNNNNNNNNNNNNNNNNNCGCCGUCGCCCGGCUGUGAGCUCUCCCCCUCUAACCCCUCUCCCUCGCACCCGGCGGCCACCAUGGGCGCCGCCCCUCCCCGAGCCCAUACACACACACACAAGCAUGAUGAACACACACACACACACAUAUGUAUGAAUUAAUGCAUGUAUAUAUUAGUAUAUACGUAUUUUGUAUGUUUAAUUAGUUUAGAUUAUUUAGAUUAUUAUUUUUUCACUAUUAUAUAUGUAUGAAUGCAUGUUAGAUGGAUAUAGUGUUUUAUUAGUAUGGAAAUUUUUUAUAUAAUGUUGUUUUUCAGUUUUUUAAUGGAUGUAUAGAAGUUGUGUUUUCUGUUUUUAGUGUUAGAUGCUUAAUUAGUAUGAAAUAGUAUAUAGAUUUUUGAAAUAGUAGAAAUGUUAGAAAUUUUAGUUAUCAAAAUCCAAUCAUUAAAAAAAUGUUACUUUUUGCGGGCAUAUAGCUAGUAUUUGUUCUCGACGAUGCCCGGCCCGCAUCCUCGCCGUCGACCCGUCCACGAUGACGUCCAGCCGACCCAUGUCCGGGACUGGGCUCCGCCGGGCUGGCACUGGGAGGUGCUGCCUGGAGGAGCGCGCCGCUUGAUGAGGAACCCGGCCCCGGGUCCCGUCGUCGACCCUAAUCUCGUUUGGUGGCGUUCGCGUGGGCCAGUUUCGGUGCGGAGGGACCCGGCCCCGCCGGAGGUGGUACGUCGCCGUGUCAGGGAGGAGGACGAGCACGUCCAUCGCUACAUGGUUGCGUUAGAGGGCGGCAGGUUCUCCAAUACCUUGCAGUAUCUUCGGGGAUCUCACUUCAGCUAUGAUCCUGUGAGGGUUCCUUCUCUUUGGGUGUCCACCGCCCGCGCCACAGGAACCGCGAGUGUCCUAGAUUCUUCUGUAGUAUUCGAUCUUUAAUUAGCUAGCCAGUGAUGUACUAUUCAAUAUUAUAUAUUAUUUGAGACGAUCUAUUCGAGAUUAUAUCUAUUAUUCUAGACGAAGUAUUCGAGAUUAUAUCUAUUAUUCUAGACGAUGUAAUUUGAAUACUAAAUUGUUUUAUAUUUCUUUUGGAUUAGUUAAAUAAAAGCUAUGGCAGACAAUACCGACAGAGAGGGAGAACAGACCAUGUUUGAUAUGAUACGUGGGCCAGAUGAUGAUCAGAAUGAAGAAGAUUAUGAUGCUCCGAAUUUCUAAACAACACCGGAGAGGGUGAUAUGAUAUUCGAUCGCGACGACCGAAUUGAUGAAGUCAUGAACUACGAUUAUGACGAUGACGAAGAACAUGUUGAUCCUGAAACAACGACAAAGACCGGCGAGGUAUAUAUAUUUAUAUAAGCAGGUAUCUGGUGAUCAUUACAUGUUUUAAAUGACUUGAAGAUAUAUUAACGAAUCGAUCUUUGUUCUUUCAGCCAUCCAGAUCGAGCAAAUCUUCAGGCAAAAGGACGAAACGAGGCCCGAACAAAAAGUUGAAGGAGGGCAUAAAGUACAAUAUCGAGGCAGUCAGACCUAAUGGCGAACCAUUAGCGCCUAAGAAGAUUGCGGACAAGUUCGUUCAUCAGUGUGGAGUUCUUGUGAAGAACCAACUCCCGAUCUCCCUUCAAGAAUGGAGAGAGCCAGCAAAAGACAAAAGACAAAAAGGCAAAGAGGACGCUGCUCCACGUCUAGAUGUUACUUUUGUCGACAAGAAUCAAAAAGAUCUGCUUUGGGAUACUCUCAUGGAACAUUUCACCCUACCAGAUCAUUUUACAGAAGCAGAUGUGCAGAAAGUCAAGGACGCUGCUCUUAGAAAGAUGGCGGUUGCAUUCAAGAACCACAAGAAUCGUGAAUGGGACAAGUACGUCAAGGGAGGAAGGAAGACUCCAGUAUUCGAGGAAACACUAGAGAACCAACGUGCUCAUUGGGACGAUUUCGUGAAAUUCAAGGAUUCGGAAUUAGCUAAGGAACGGUCGAGAAUAAACAAGAAGAAUGCCGAAAAAAAGGAUAAGUUCCAUAAGCUGGGGCCAGGUGGCUAUGCGGUGGCAAUGCCUAAGUGGGAUAAGUCUGAGAAAGAGAUGGAGGAUGCAGGUGUCACUCCGGUUACUAAGAGCUGGCCCCCCAGGUGCAGGACUUGGUUCUAUGCGCAUGGGGGGAGUUGGACCCGAAGACAGGCAAUGUUUCAACGAAGGCAAGUCUGAAGGGAGCCGACGAUGCGAUACUUGUUGCAAUAGAAGAGGCACGAUCGGGGGUGUUCCAGCCCAACAGAGAGAACGACGAGCUUACGCGUGCCCUGGGAAAUCCUGAACACCCGGGAAGAACACGAGGCAUGGGCGCUAUUCCGUGGUAUGAGGGGUUUUCAGACUGGAACACCGACUACAGGACCCGUGCGAGAAAGAAGAUUGCAGAGGAGAAGAAGAGGAAGAUGGAGGAGGAGCAGAGGAAGCGGGACUAUGAACGCCAUCAAGGCCUAGAAGCAAGUCAAGCGCAAUUGGCAGUCAAAUUCCAGCGGCAGCAGGAGCAGAUCGACUCACUUACCCAGCAAAGGGGGUCUCAGCAGCUGCAGCAGCUAGCGGAUGAUCCAACAUUGGAUAGCAUCAACCCAUCCAUGCCGAGAAGCAGCGUGGGUUCGGCCACCUCGGACGACGCAAUGCUGGGUAGAUACCCCGUGGAUGACAUCACGGAGAACACUAACUGCGAGCUACACGUCAAAAUAACGAACAUAUCCAUCAAGGUGGCGGACGCCGUUGCUUUUACAAAUCCCCCCGAGGCAACCUUCCAUUGCAACCCGAUUCCAGCGGGCUAUGCUCGUGUCUUGGUUGAUGAGGUGGUGGACCCACCAUAUUGGGAGCUACAGCUUGACAUUCCUGGAGGUGACGACGAGCGCUUUCUCGGAGAGGCCAAACAUCGUAUCAUCCUAUGGAAAAAGGAUUGCAUCAUCUUUCGAAGGCCACCGACACCGUGUCAGCCGACUCCUCGUCGAAGUCCGCCACCGAGUCAGCAGUCUCCCGCUCCUGCAAGUCCACCAAGUCCGGCAAAGUGUCAGGCCACUCCUCCUCCAAGUCCGGCAAAGUGUCAGGCCACUCCUCCUCCUCCAAGUCCGCCACAACGUCAGACGUCCACUCCUCCUCCAAGUCCGGCACAACCUCAAGCCACUCCUCCUCCAAGUCCGGCACAGCUUCAGGCGGCCACUCCUCCUCAUCCAACUCAACCCCGUCAGCCGUCUCCGCCGCCUCAGCAAUUGCAGAAGAGACACCCCGCAGCUAUGGUGCGUAGCGGUACGAGUCAAGGUAGUACAGGAAGUACAGGCGGAGGCAAGCGAUAUAAAUAUGGUCCAAGCCUCACACCUCUUUCGCAGAGGACUUAUGACAGGUCCGAGGAGGAAAUCGCAGCCAUAUCGAAGGCCGAGGUGGAAGCCCAUUUUGCACCAAAACCGCCACCACCGCCAAGGGAGAAAGUGCCUGAGGAAACGAUUGACCACUUCAUUCGUAUGGCUCAACCACCAGCUCCCAAGCCUGUUGACACAGACUAUGAGCGCCACAUCAGGAAGUUAAAUCGAGCACGUCUACGUAAGGAGGCGAGCUCGGGAUCGAGCAAACAAGAAGCAGCUGUCAAAAAAUGCGGGAAAACCAUUCCCCAGCUGGGAGAACAGGCGGCGCAAUCGAUCCCCUCGCUUGUUGUGCCAACAACACGUGACAGUACGCGCGCCCAAUAUUAUUGUGGGCAAAUAGUUUACGUUCCUGAGGUGGGCAAUGUGGUAAUAACGGAGGAGCAUAUAAUGCAGGCUGAAGUUCUCAAAAUCACUGUUGGACAACUCCUCGAGAUCGAGCCCAGGCCUGUGCUUAGAGAGGAUGAAAUAAAACGGAAAUAUGUCCGGGGCCAACCUUUGGUCGAGCCAGACAAGGUCAAGAACCUCCCAACGAGAAUGUAUGAAUUGCAUCAAUGGUACAUGAACAUUACCAAGAUUUCAGAUCGAUUGUCCCUCAUGGUGAAUGUCAAGGAGGAUCAUUACUUCCAUGAGAAAGCUCUGUCCGUUGAGUAUUCUGAACUGUUUCAGUUAUACAAUUAAGACACACUCGACAAAUCUAUCGUCAGUUGCUAUUGUCUAUAAGUGAUUUCUUUCUAUAAUUUAAGUCUCAAGCUAGCUGUAGUGAUCCUUUUGAUCAAUCAUUACCUGUAAUUAUCCUCACUAUAUUCUUUUCUGUGGUAUUAUGCAAGAUGAAGAUGUAUGAAAUGAGAAAAGAUGGACGCUAUGGCAUUGGGUUCAUUGACCCAAACACCGUUAAUGAAUACACAUGGCGGAUAAAUCCACAUCAUCAAAAGGACAUAGAUGACAACCUGCGAGAGUUCUUGAAGCGCCUCAAAUACAAUGAAGAUAUACUACUUCCUUACAACUUCCAGUGAGUCACACUGUCUUGUACUACAAAUUCUCUGUUUUUGCCUACUAGCUAGCUACAUGUUUUUGCUUACAUAUGCCCGCUUAAUUAAGACAUGCAAACGUGUGUGCAUGCAGAUUUUACUGGGUCUUGUGUAUCAUUAAAAUUGAUGCCGGAACAGUUGAACUACUGGACUCACUACUCAAAGUUAAAACUGACUAUAACAUCUUGUUUGGGAUAGUCAACAGGUAAUUUCAAUCAUUAUUAACUAUAUAUCUCGGCCUAUUUAGUUUGUCAUUUCAUGAUAUGAACUAUUUAAUAACUCCUUUAUUCAUUUUCUUUGUCGGCGGGCAGGGCUUGGGCAAGGUUCAUCAGCGUCACGGAUGGCGAAUGGAAAAAAAAUCUUUAAUGGUUUCGACCCAAGGUAAGUAAUUAAGUAGUACUAGCUAGCUAGCUAGCUGCCAUCUCUUUAAUUAUUAUACUUGAUUAAUUAUUAUCUGAUCAAAUUCCAUUCUCGUAAAGGCCCUGAAGCAGGCGCAGGGGACUGAUCUGUGUGCAUUCUGCGUUUGCGAGAACAUUCGCAUGAUGGCGUCCGAAAGGAGCAGAUCUCAAAGACAGGAAUGGGUACGCUUGUCAGAACACUAUUCAUAAUUUUUACACCAUUAUCGAUAUCUAGUCACACAACUAAUACACAUGCAUAUUGAUCUCCUUCUUAACAGUUCAGAGAGGUGCGGGAGAAGCUUCUAGAAACGGAGCACGUAGAAGCACUUCAAGAGGAAAUAGCGGGAUUUUUGCUCGACCAGGUCAUAAAUCCGAAGGGAGAAUACUAUUGCCCGCUACCGCCCCCAUGAAAACCACUUCCAAUUGUCAUCGUGCUCCGAAGGCACCAAUUAGGCUAAUGCCACUGGCUCCGAAGGCAACAUGCAUAUGUAGAAGAAAUUGUAUAUAGCUAGCUAUACAUUUGUGUAUGUGCGAAUUAAUUAAUAUGGUGGUUUGUGAGACAUUGAUGAUAUAUAUAUGCAUGAUUGGUUCUACUAGAAAUUAUAUUUAUAUAUAUAUAUAUAUAUAUAUAUAUAUAUAUGCAUAACGUGUACAAUGUGUAGUAUCGUAAAAUACUAGCAAACAAAAAAGAAUUAAAAUGGAAACACAAAAUUAAAUAAAAAAGAAAUCAUAAAACUAAAAAAAAAAACCAAACCUUAUAGUACCGGUUGGUAUUACCAACCGGUACUAAAGGGCUCCAGCCCCCCGGAGCUGNNNNNNNNNNNNNNNNNNNNNNNNNNNNNNNNNNNNNNNNNNNNNNNNNNNNNNNNNNNNNNNNNNNNNNNNNNNNNNNNNNNNNNNNNNNNNNNNNNNNNNNNNNNNNNNNNNNNNNNNNNNNNNNNNNNNNNNNNNNNNNNNNNNNNNNNNNNNNNNNNNNNNNNNNNNNNNNNNNNNNNNNNNNNNNNNNNNNNNNNNNNNNNNNNNNNNNNNNNNNNNNNNNNNNNNNNNNNNNNNNNNNNNNNNNNNNNNNNNNNNNNNNNNNNNNNNNNNNNNNNNNNNNNNNNNNNNNNNNNNNNNNNNNNNNNNNNNNNNNNNNNNNNNNNNNNNNNNNNNNNNNNNNNNNNNNNNNNNNNNNNNNNNNNNNNNNNUUUAGUGCCGGUUAUGGAACCGGCACUAAAGGGCCUUACGAACCGGUGCUAUUGCCCGGUUCUGCACUAGUGUUUCUACUUGGUCAACCUAUGCACGGCUAGUAUUUCGAGCAGAGCUGCAAUCUUACUUGUGUUUAUGCACAUUUAGGAGCUAGUAGGGUCUUUUCUUCUUUUGAUUUUGUUCAUGUAAAACAAGAAGCCAAUGGAUUUUCUCUUCAGCAAGUUCCUUUUGUUAACUCUGUCAUGAACGAGUAGCCAGAAGAAAAACUUCGUGUCUGUUCCUAUUUGAACAUUUCCAAAGCUUUGUAAAUGCGUAAUGUAUUAAUCAUGUUUAUUGGCUUACAUAAUCUGUGGGAUCAUUUCUCUGUACUGCUAGGUAUCCGUUUGUUGAUGGUAAAACACUUGGAUGAAACAAUGUCACUUUCUUUCGUCCUAAAUGCUAAUUAGUUCUGGCUUGUUUUGAGUAGAGAAUGGCGUUAACAGAACAUCGGCAAUCAUAAUCUGCCCAGAAUUGUUUCAGCAGAUUUUCUGGUAAGAAGUUAUGUUUGCUUGUUGGUAUUUAUUCAUGUAUGUAGGUUCUAAUAUUGUGCAAUAAGCAAUGUCAAGCACUUCCCUUGGCAGUUUUGCUCAUAGUCUACUGGUGAGAAAUCCCUUUCGUUAUAUGAUGUCUGUAAUGUUGCACAUACGCUCUGUACAGUUCAGUGCAGCGUUGUUUCUGAAUUUCGAUUUUUGACGUGAUAUAACACUGAAGCAGCAAGUGGCGGUACUGACUCUGAAGCAGCACGACUCCGGUUUCAGCCUCAAGCAUCCAAGGCAAAACUGAAACUAGUGUUCAGGAACGAUUUUUUUUUUGUUUGGUGAUUUUGAGGGACAUAGAUGGUACUUCCUCCGUAAACUAAUAUAAGAGCAUUUAGAUUACUACUUUAGUGAUCUAAACGUUCUUAUAUUAGUUUACAUAGGGAGUAAGAAGGCACUAUAAGUGGAGUUUGUGGUCAUAAAAACUUGGUACAGUGGUGUCUUUUUUUAACGAAGGCACUGUCGGUUUACUAGGUAGCUAGGUCAGCAUGCAUUCUUUUGUGGCUUAGUUAGCCGAUGGCCAUACCAUUCUUAGUUGGUCAGUGGGGCUGCUUAGUUUAGCCCUUGUUUCCCCUUAGCAUAUUACUGACCGACCUGAUCUUUGCUGCUAAAUUAUUUUUGAGGCUGCCAACCAACGUGCAGCAUGCAUUAUUUCUUCCAUGGCAGUGGAUAUUCUUCACUGUUGGGCAGGAUCUCACAUUCAUUAUUGGAGUGAACUUGGUUAUUUCUCUGUGAUUAAUUAUCCAAAUUUGCACUGAAGUUUCUGUUGUCUGUACUCGUUUUUGCAUACGAAUGAUUUGUGCAACUGUGACCUCCAUGUAUCCAGUUGAGAGUCAACUCCGCAUAGUGUUUAAGCGAAGAUGGUCAUGUAGUAAAAGACAUGAUCAAUGAUUAUCACACAGCUUAAAUGUAAAUCCUCUGUUUGGAGCUGUGGGAAGAUAAGCAUAGUAUUGACAGUGAUUUAGUAAAUGAUCCCUUAUGUAACAUGUCAAAUUCUGCUAAUGAUAUGCGAUGGGUUUUUAUCAUUUAUGCCACCAGUUGUGUCCCACUACUUAGUUUUGCCCCUAGGAAUUUCAACUGCUCAAAAAAUGCCAUCGCUUCGUUAGACACAUGCUCAAAAAUGCCACUGGACAUCAUUAAUGUGAUCUCAAAUCUCUUUUGACAUGUUAUAAUGAUAUAAAUACCUAUGGACCAACAUGUCAGCUCUGUACUGUGGCUAUUUCGAUAUUUAACAUCCUGCUGUUGAACGCUUGUUUUACUAAGGUUCCCGUACCGCGGCUAUUCCGGCCUGGCGGCUGCUGAACGCUUGUGUUUUGAUCCAGCCGUGUCCCCUCAUUUCCAUGUGCUUUUGUUGUAGGUGGCAGAUAUGGAGGACCAACAUAGCUACUGUCUUACUGGAGUGCAUGUCUAUUCAUUUGAAACAGGGAGUUGGGUUCAUAAGGAGAAGAGAUGGUGCGCUACUAUUGAUGUCACUAAUGACCGGUCAACUGUUUAUCUUAAUGGUUAUCUGCAUUUCUGUGCCAUUGUUGAUGGUUCUGCUAGUCGUCUAGCUGCAGUGGACAAGGAGGGGGAAGCAAGGACCCGUGUUCCUGAUGGUCUGGAUGUUGGUUUUAUUCAGCUGUCACAGGGCUGCCUGCAUUAUGCUGGUUUUAACACAGAUGAUGAUGUUGUUGUUCGACUGCUAGUUUAUGUUCUUAAAGACUAUGAUCGCAAAGAAUGGAUACUGAAGCAUAGCGUCGAAACUUCGCAUUUGCUUGGAGGGCGACAUGUAGACCUUGAUGAGGACUUCGAUUGGAUUGCAAUUCAU